RNAcentral lists this long non-coding RNA (53367 nucleotides) under Gossypium raimondii (Peruvian cotton). Its description in RNAcentral is "long non-coding RNA (GRAI_LNC010795)". The record is from RNAcentral. Lineage: Eukaryota; Viridiplantae; Streptophyta; Magnoliopsida; Malvales; Malvaceae.
CAAAGAUAAUUUUACUAUAAUGGCAAAAGAACGAAGAGUACAAAAGAUGGAGAUAAAACUAAACCCUAAAAACCCGAAAACAAAGAACCCUCAAAACUUAAACACAAAAUUCUCUAAAUGUGUUAUGAGUUCUAAUAUCUAAUGGGUGUCUUUUCUAAGGUUGUAAAAGAGCCUAUUUAUAGGCUAAAUUCAUAUGUCAAAUAAUAAUAAAAUAAUCUAAACUAAUCAGUGUUUGACUGAAAUAAAUAAACAGAGUUUAACUAAAAAAUUAUUUUUCAAAAUUGACUGAAAAUAGGAGUCAUACUUAACAGAAGUCAAUUCAACCAAGCUAUCACUUUUCAAGUUUGGAAUAUCAGUCGACUUGCGAUGAAUUUUUGGAUGGGAUCCAGAUAUUUCUGGACUGAGAUAUCUGCAUAGCAUUUGAAGAGUUACCUCUUAGAUUUGAAACGCACUUUGAAUCAAUCGAUUUCAAGUCCAGGAGGUCAAGUUAUGAUCAUUUUACUGAAUACUGUGUGAGUAGAAUUUUUGGAUAGAAUUAUUACAAGAAAUUACGAGUUUCGGACUUUAAUGCAAGUUGAAAUCAUAUUGUGUUCGAUUUUUAGGCUUAAAUUUUAUUAUAUAUGAGUACAAUAUUGCAUUUAUUAAGUUUUAUUAUUUUAUUAUUUCUUUAUUCUGAAUUUUAGGAUAUUUUUAAGUAUUUAAAGUUGUUUAAGAGUUUUAUGUUUCUUAGUUAAUAAGAAAGUUUAGUUUUACUAAAACUACUCAUUGUUUAGAUUAAUUACAGUUUCAUUAUACUUGAGAGUUUUAUUUAGAUGUAAUUAUCUAGCCUAUAUAUUGGUCUUUUCAUUGUUUAUUAAAAGCAUUGAUAAAAUUGAUUCAUUCAUUAAUAAAAUUUUCAACUCUAAAAGUUAAUUUCUUUCAUGCAGGAUUCUUUUCUCGUGAUUUUUAGAAACGAUUUUUUCCUCUUGAUUUUCUUCAAGGAUUUGUGGGAAUCCAUUCUUAAUCCUUCAAUUUGCCAAAAAUUAUUUCUUUGAUAGUUGAUUAGAGCCUUUAAUUGAAUUUGUUGGGGUUUAUAUUUGAGGUCCAGUUGGACAACUAUCUUCUAUUCAUAUCCAUCGGUUUAGCAGUCAAAUAAAACUCACAUUCCUUUCCUAGGAAUCUACCUAGUGCACAGUUCUCAUUCACUUCUUUAUUUUUACCCUUUUUGAUAUUUGCUUUUAAACAAUGAGGACAUUGUUUCUCUUUUGUGGGGGGACCAGAAAUAAAAUUUUUGGCUUAUGACGAAAAUUAAUUUUUUUCCAUCAAGUUAUGUUAUAGUAAAAUAUUAUUUUAUGUAUAAAAUUUUAUUAUUUCAAUUAUUUUUAUGCUAGCUUAGUUAUGAUAAAAAAUGUUGAACUGAGUAAUUGUGUAUAAACCAUACCAUGAAAAUUUUUAAUUCCUUAGAAAAACUAAGCAAUCAUGAAAGUUUAAGUCUUUAGAAUUGACUUAGUAAUUUCCUUAAGGCGAAAUACUAAGAGGCAUGGUAAUUUGAAAAUGAUUUAGGCAAUUUUUGUUUGGACCAUUUGAGCCUUUCAAGCCAACCCUAGUAAUAAUUAUCUAUUGAAACCCUACUUUAAGCUAUAUAGCCUGAUGUUUUUUUUCUGAACCUUAUAUUAAUAAGUCAUCCUUCCUUAAAAUUUAUCUCUAUCUGUCCCAAAUCUUAGACUCAGUCCAACUAGAAUGUUUUUGUGAUUAAAUUUGGGGAGUUAGAGAGAAGUGUUUGAUUUCUCAAAAUAUUGAGUUGUAUGCUUAAAAAAGCAUUAGUGAUUGCUUAAAAAAUCUAGUUAUUGAAAAAAAAAUAUGUACAGAGAACAUGUGUACUCAAACUCAAAAGAGUUGGUGUUCUUGGGGAUAAUUGUAUUUGGAAGGUUUGAGGUACACUGAGUCUAAGAUUUUAGUCUAAAAAUGAUCUAUCAUUUUCCUACCUUGACCCAAGUCAUAUUACAACCAUAUUAAAGACCUAUUGAUUAAACUUUAGGAUUACUACUGAGUUCAACCAAGGGAAAUAAAUUUUGUUUGGGAAGUACUAAGCACAUAUUUGUUAAGGGAUGGUAUUUAGUACAUAGUUUUGUUAGUAUAUUAAUCUUUGAAAAUAAUUGAGUGAUAUAGGCACUCAAGUUGCAUGUUUAGAAAUUUUUUAUUCUUCAGCAUAAUUUUGCUAAACACAUAACUAUAGGAAUGAUUGAUUUCGUUUGAAGGGAUUUUUGCAAAAGUGGCUCUUUGGUUUCUAAUGUAAGUUAGCAUAUAUCACCACUUGGGAUGAGCAAUGAAUUAAGUUUGGGGGUAUGAUAACUCAAAAUUAUAUAGACAUUUACAACACCUUCUGACUAUUAAUUCAUGCAAAUUCUGAGUAUUUUGAUAGCAAAUUUUGUAUUUUUUCAUUAAAAAUUUGUAAAGUAGAACAAAAUUAAAGAUAAAUUUGUAAUGUUAUUUAUUUCCAUGCUAAUUUUACAUAUUUUUUUUCCAGUUUGGCGCAGUUUGGUGCAAUAGAAGAAAAGUUAAUCUUGAAGCUCACCUAUUCGAUGCUUGAUGAUGUAACAUUCCUGCAGUAGAGGCCAUGCAAACGUGGGUUGAUGGCUAAACAACAUGAGACAUCCUAAAUUCUUUUAUUGGACCUUUAAAUUCAAUUUGAUCCAGCUCCCAAAUGGUUCACAAAAAUGGACAAGCUUGCUACCAAAUAUGAAGCCCAAAUCAUCCACUAAGGGAGGAAAAAGCCUAAUUCAACCAAGGGAAGUCCAACCGUCCAUAAAAGUAUUUAACUUUGCCUCCCAAGACUUGGUAAAAUAUCACAGAUCAGUCACAACAAAUUUCCCAUGAUCGUUCAACUCCCAUCCCUAUUUUAAGGUGCCUUCCCAUGAAUCAAGUAAGAAGUAGCUAAAUUUAGCAAAGUCAUUCACCUUCCUUCCUUAACACAAGGGGUCGACCAUUUGUGAGAGAAAUGAGGGGGAUUAUAAUUCUAAAAAUAGAAAACUCAAGAGUUGUAAGGAGUAUUUAGAAGUUCUUGUGAGUAGCAAAAAUUCAGCAUUUAUAAGGCAUUUGUGUGAAGGAACAAAGCAAAAAGAAUGAGGAAAAGCAAAUAAAAGUUGUGCAGCGGAGAAACAUCGCAUUUGUCUCCUAGUUCCUUUUUCUUAAUUCUUUUGAUUUUGUUCUAAACUUAUGAACAUGAUUGCUAAAUAUAUUUCUGCUUUUUAUUUCAUUAAAAUGGCUUAAUUUUGUUUAUGUUAGAUUGAUUGCAUUUUUUUAGCUUAGAUUAUUAGAAUUUUAUUAAUGAUGUUAUGUGCCUUGGUUGCUUAUUCAUUCAAAUAAAAUCAUGAACAUGUUAUUCGUGCAUUAUAAAUAUUGGGAUGCAAUUGAAUUAAUUAUUAAAUCAGAACCAAAUUGUAAUUAAUUGACACAGUAUCUGAAUGGUGCAUGUUUGACCAUUUUAUGAUGAAAUUAGGUCAAAUUAGUAAUAAUAUCAAAAGAACUUUAUUACCUUGCAUAACCCUAAGAUUAAUGUGAUUAAACUAUUUCGGUAUAGAAAUAUUACCAUUACUUCACAUAAUAUGAUUUCUACUUAUUAAAAUACUAAGUUGAUUGAACAUAGACAUAUGCUAGAAAAACUUAAUUAUUUAAUAAGUGUAAUUUCUUAGACGAUACCUAGAAAGGUAAUCUUGAAGUUAGACUUGACAUAGAAAUAUGCAUGGAGACUAAAAGGUCAAGCUUAAGUCUUCGAGAGAAGCCAAGCAUUCGUAAAUAAUAACAAGCUUAAGUCUUUGAGUUUAUUUAGGAUCAUUCAUCUCAUGAAAUUGUGUGAUAAUGUGUGGUAUUGAUUUGGUAUAUAAAAUAUUUGUAUAGAUCAAGAAUUAGACCAAAGUGGAGUAAAUAAAGGAAAAGCAUAAUGUAACACCCCUAACCCGUAUCCGUCACCGGAUUAGGGUUACGAGGUAUUACCAGUCAUAUUACAGUUCAUACAGAUAAUCAUUACAUUUCACAACUCGAAAUUCAAUCACAUCAAUGCUCGUAACUUAAUCAAAUAUCGAGUCUUGAAAUCAGAACAAUCAUAACAUUGCAUAAUUAAAACAUAUUCAUAUCAUCUAUAUAACCACAUAUUCGAAUUAUCUAAUGUGCAACAAAGCCAAGUUACAUGUACUUAAUACAUAUAAAUGUUCGAACCACAUGACUCUAAUAUUAAUGGCAUUUGUAUACUUAAAACAUAUCCUAGCAUAUAUCAUUACAUUUCAUACAUCGAAUAUAUGUCACUAUAUCUAUUUCAUUAGUUGAAUAUCAAACAUAUCAUUUCAUAACUUCUGCACAAGCACAUAAUAAAACCAUUCGAACCAUAUUACAUUAAUUAUUAUGCAAUCACAUAUGCGACUUUAGUAAUAUUACAAUAGGGCCAAACAUACUUUUGAUGCAUAUAUAUAUAGUGCGCAUUUCACCCUAAAAACAAAAGCCACAUUUAACAUUUGAACAAAAAUAACAUUCCAAUGUACACCUAAUUCGCAUAUAUAUAUAUAUAUAUUAGUAACCCUAACUUCAUAUUUCAUCCUAUUAACUAAUCAUUGAUUCAGUCACACCAUUAUCAAGAUCAUAUGCUUAUCAAAAUGAACCAAAUAUCGUUACCGAAUUUACAACCACACAUGUACGCGUACCUAUAUUAAUAUUAACAUCAACUUGACACUUUUAACUAUCCAUUAAAAGCUAACCAAAACAUACCUAAAUCAUAACCAUCAUUUACCAUUUGGAUCCGUACCAAAACAAUCAACCAAAAAAAUCAUGAAACAUAUUCAUUACUUGUCAUUUAGCAACCAAACCUAUAUAGCCAAUAUACAUUCAAAUACAUAUUCAUCAUAUUACCUCAUUACUAAGCCAAAUUAAACAAUCAUCCACCACCCAAAUUAUUCCACAUUCCAUACUUCCAAAAUAAGCUAAUUAUUAAGCUGAUUAUACAUCAUACUUACCAUUUCUCAUUGCCAAAUCAUAUAACCAACAUCACAAACUUAUAUACCAAGAAACAUACUUCCAAAAUAAGUUUAAGUCAUAGCCACAUACACACAAGCUUUAACAUUAUAAUCAAGCCAUGUUCACAUAGCUAUCUAUAUACAAAUUUCAAAGCCAAACAUAUAAAAACCAGCCUAUACAUGCCAUAUGUUUAUAGUUUCAAACUUCAAAAGUACCGAGUAAUAUUCGAUAGUGUGACGAUGAUCCUAGACGAUCCCCAAGCUCGUAGCUAGCUUUCAAAAUCUAUAAAACAACAGACAAACACACAAAGUAAGCUUGGAAAGCUUAGUAAGUCAUAAGCAAAUAAAUUAUCAAAUGAACAUUAGCAUGAUUAUUUCAACAUGGUCGAAUAUGAACAAUCUCAUGUACAUAAUGGUCAGACCUUUGACAUGUAUAAUUCAUAUCAUCAUCUCAAGUACUAUACUUACCUUAUUUUCAUGGACAUUUAACUUCGAACGUACCUGAACCAUUUAGUUCAAUUUCACAUUCGAUCUUAACUCAACAUUGCCCGUUAAACCAUUCGAAAUCAAUAAGGAUACUCGAAUAGCUCGAAAAGCUCGUACACUACCAAUGUCCCAGACGAGGUCUUACAUGUAAUCAAAUGUCGAUGCCACUGUUGCAGACAGGGUCUUACACAAAAUCAUAUAUGAUGCCAAUGUCCCAGACAUGGUCUUACACUUAAAUCUCAAAUUGAUGCCAACGUCCCAAACAUGGUCUUACAAGAAAUCACAUAUCGGAAUCCUAUGUCAUGACAUAUGUAUCCUAACUAUUCCUAUGGUUCGUACUGGGCUUUCGGACGUCAUAAUUCGAUCGAUUCAAACUCGUAACUAGUUCUCCAAUGCUUAAUUCAAUUUGGCAUAUACACAUAAAUUUAUUAUAAUUCAAUUUUGGCACAUAUAAUACAUAUACAUUCGAAUUUAACAACAUUUAUUUACUUAUGAACUUACCUCGUACGGAGACGAAUGGACCAGAACGACUAUUCGACAACUUUUGAUUUUCCCCGAUCCAAUUUCGUUUUCCUCUUUUCUUGAUCUAAAUUAAUACAAAUUUAACUCUUUUAUUCACCAUUCAAUUUAAUCCACAUAAUCAUAUUUAAGGCAUUUUACAAAGUAUCCUUUAUAUUUUCACAUUUUGACAUUUAAGUCCCUAAUUCACAAAAUUACAAAAUACACAUAAUUUCAUUUUACACAUGCUAGGUCGAAUGUUUAUACACUUCAUAUAUGCCCAUAUAUUUCCUUUAUUUCACAUUUUAACCCCUCUAUUUCUCAUUUUCACAUUUUAGCCCAAAAUACUCAAAUUCAUCAAAAAUCCAAACACAAAACAUAUUAAUCUCAUACCAAGCUUUCAUAAUUCAUCAAUUAACAUCAUUAAACUCACAAAAUCAUCAAUGGCACAACUCAAAAUCAUUAUCAAAUUCUGAAAUUGAGGCAUGGGCUUAAGAAAACACAUUGCAACGAUCACAAAAAUGUUUUAAUUGUCAAAAACCGAAACAAAAACAUACCUUGAUUAAGCUUGGAUAAGGCCGAAUAGAAGAAAGAUUUAAAACCCUUAUUUUCUUUCUAAUUUUGGUGGAAGAACACUUGAAAAUGAUCAACAUUUUGGCCUUAUUCACUUUAUUUAUUUUGAUUUAAAGAAUUACUAAUUUAACCUUAAUGAAAUAUUAAUAUAAAACACUUGAAUCAUGGACAUAAAUGUCCACUAGCCUUAUAAUGGCAUAUUAACCUUUUAAGGACUUCCCAUAAAUCAAAUCAUAACAAAUUAACAUAUUUACAAUGAGAAUGUCACUUCUACUUUUUAUGGGUUUAGCCCUUUUUUGCAAAUUAAGCAUACAAACGGAUAUAUUAAAUCACGAAAAUUUUACACAUGUCAAUUCACAUACAAUAAGCAUAGAAAAUAAUAUUAAAAUAUUUUUUGACUCGGAUUUGUGGUCUCAAAACCACUAUUUCGAUUUGGCUAAAACCGAGUUGCUACACAUAAAUUGUGGAUUAGUCCCUGACAAAUCCACCUGUAUUGUGUUUUGAAAAGGUAAGUUCAUAUCGAACUUACUACUCUUCUUUAGGUUAUAUGUAUGCUUGUGUUUAUUCCAUUAUAACUAUGUUCGAACAUAACUUUAAAUGUUGAUUAAGUUGGCAUACAUGGCUAGAAAAUGAAAUGGAAUUGAAUUGAAUAAAAAUGAAUUAAGAUUGAUGAUUGAUAUGACAUGGUACAUGGUAUGAUAUGUAAAUAUGGAAAAUUAUAGGGUAUGAACAUGUGAGCAUGAAUGAUUACAGGGUAUGAUAAUGCAAAUAUGUAUAAUUGAUGCCCAUGUGAACUUAGUAAAAGGUUAGGAUAUGAUUGGCAUGUCAAUAAGGUCAUUUGCACGCUUGUACGGGAUAUGUGAUGAUACGGAGAUUAUGACAGGAUAUAUCGAGACUUGCAUUUGUUAUGGAUCAUCGAGCAUUAUUUGUCCCUACAGAGACUUUGAUGUGGUAGAGGGAAUUAAUUGAAAAUGUUUAUACAUUUGAUUCCUACGGGCUUUGGAUUUUGGUGCCUUGGUGUGGUAUAGUUAAGCUCUUACAAGCUAUCUGACGUGGUGUAGUUCACUCGUGUAUCCGAGUCUAUUUUUCUAGGGUUCCAUUGGGAAAAAUGUUGAAAAUGGAUCUUGAAAUAUAAAAAAAUGAACCAAUUUAAUGUGUUAUUAUGAUUCGUGAUUCAAAUUGAAAUGGCUUGAUCUUGUAAAUUGAUAAUGUAAUAUGAAAUGGUAAUGAUCUUAAUGAAAGUAGAGAAAUUGGUGAUAAACCUAUGUGAAAUGGUGAAAAUUGGUAAUGUUUGUGUUACUUUUAUCAUGUUUAAUGCAUAUUAAUACUCAUGAUUUUUGUGUAUACCUUGUUGUGACCUAGAGUGUCAUCUGCUAGCUAAAUGUAUGUAAUGGCCCAAAUUCAAGGUUAUCGGAAUAGUAGUAUUGUAACCACAAAUUUGAUUUAAAGAGAAAUUUAUUUUAAUAUUUUUGUAUGAAUAUUGAUAUGAUAGGAAAAUCGUAUGAAAAUAUAGAUAGAAGAAUUUUACCAAUUUAGUGGUUAGUUAGAAAAAGAAAUUACUGAAGAAAUUGGGUAAAAACAAGGUAUCGAGACCUCGAUCUCGUAAAAUCGAGUCAAAAAUAUUUUUAUAAAUAUUUAUGAAGUGUUAGUAAUAUGGUAUUAAAAUUUCGUUAGAAAAUUUUAAUGUUUGGGUAGUCAAUUAAGUGAAAAGGGCUAAAUUGAAAAAGGUGUAAAAGUUACUAGAAGGAUUAAAUAGCUCAAUUGUUAAAUGAGGAGGGACAUAAAUUGCAAAUAAGCCCAAAAGAAGAUAUUUUGGGCGGCAUACGCUGAGAAAAAUCAGGAAUAUUGAAGAAUUAAGGGUAAAAUUGGAAUAUUGCAAAAUUUACUUUAAAAGUUAGGACUAAAGUGGAAUAUCUAGAAUUCUCUUUAUUUUUCUGCAUUCUCAUCAGCCAAAAAACGUCCUAAGGGUUUCUUUAAGCUAUUUUUUCAUAAUUUUUGCACCAAGUGAGUUAAUCAUUGCCUUUUUCUUGUAAUUUUUGUGUUUCUAAGACUUUUACAACUAGGUCCUAUUACUAAAUUUAUUAGUUUUUGAUUUUAUGAAUGAAUUUGAAAGUUGCUAUGAAUAUGUGCUGGAAUUUCAUGAUGAAAUAGGAUGAAAUUGAAGCUUUAAUUUGUUUAUAAGAUGAUUUUAUUAGGUAAUUUCAAUAGAAAUUGAUUUGUAGGACUUAAUUGUAAAAAAGUUUCGAAUUAAAGUCUAGUGCUAAAAUUCUGAUUUCCAAAGGUUAUAAAGUAGUUUAAAGUGAUAGAAUAAAGUGUUGGUUGAGAAAAAUCAGCUCAAUUGAGAGGUUAAUUGAGCAGGGAUGGAAUUAUCAUUUAUUGAAAGCUUAGGGAAAGAAUGGUAAUUAACAUUAUGCACUAAAACAGUUUUGGACAGCAGCAGUAGUCUAACUUUAAAAAAUCACCAAAAAUUGUAUAGAUCGAAUUAAAGGAUGAAUAAAAUAUGAAAGUAAAUCUUAUUUAGUCUAGUUUCUUAUAAAAGAAACGGUGUAAGCAAUGGAAUUGUAAAUCAUGAGAUAUAAUAGAUUUUGUGAGACAAGGUCAGAAUGAAUUCGGGUUCCCCUGUUCUGACUUUGGAAAAUCAUUAAAAAUUGUAAAAAAAAUGAUUAUGAGUUAUAAUUUAUAUGGUUAUAAUCCUUAAUGAGUAUAUUUUUAGAAGAAACAAAUGGAAACAUCAUCCGAAUUCUGUACAAUGAGAUAAUUAAUUUUUAGUGAAGAGAGGUCGAAACUGUUGAACAGUGAAACAGGAGAAAUUUUAAAGAAUAAAAUGUACUUAUUGGCUAAACCAAAAAUUCUGAAAAUUUUAUGGUAAGAAUAUUUGUGAGUCUAGUUUCGGGAAAAAUUAUCGGAUCUUAAUUUGGAGUUCUGUAGCUCAAGAUAUAAAUAAUUUAGUGACUGUGACUCAGUGAGACAGCUUUGAAUGCACUAUAAAUAAUAAUGGAAUUAUAGAGAAUGUUACAUAUGAACAUGAAAAGUAUUAGAUUAAUGAUUAAAUUUAUUUAUUUAGAUCCGAAAAAUUCAAAUAGGAAGCAAGAUCGAGGAAAAGAAAAAGUUUGGGAUUAGUAGAUUUUUGGUUACGAACAAGUGACGAGGUAAGUUCGUGUAACUUGAAUUAUAUUCUUAAAUGCUUGAAAUAUAUUUUUCUUGAUGUGAAUAUGAUUUAGAUGUUUAUUGUAUGAUAAUUGAUGAAGUAUUGAUAUUCUUGAUGAAAAGGGAAAAUAAAUCUCAGUUGAAUGAAAGGAAAAUUCGAUGGAUCUCUGAAAAGGAAUUGAUGGUAAAAAGGAUCUAGCCCGGACGGGUGAUCCUAUCCUGAUAUAGCCCUCCCGAAGAAUAUGUGGAAAAUGGAUUUAGCCCGGACGGGUAAUCCGAAUUAGGGUCUGAAUUUAGCCUGGACUGGUAAUUCAGAUCCAAACUCAUUAGAGUAAUUGUCGCUGCAGGGGAUUUAGCCUGGACUGGUAAUCCCGACAAUACUCUAUGAGUUUAUAUUACAGGGGAUUUAGCCUGGACUGGUAAUCCCGCUGUAAGGAUGAGGUUCGCGGGAGUGUGCUAUCUGAAAUAGAAAUGUGAGUACAUGAAUAUGAAUUAACGGACCCGGAUUUGUACACUAAAGUGUACCUCUGAAAAUCCAUCGAAAUUUCGAGAAAUUCAACGGGAUAAAUAUGGAAAAUAAAAAGGGAAUGGAAAAUAUGGGAAUUGAUAAGCUCAUCAAUCAUUUGUCUUUGUAAUGAAUUUAUAUGAUGUUUACUUAACUAAUGCAAAAGUUGAGUUUGUAUGUGAUAGGUAUAUGUUUAUGUGAAUUGGAUGUGUGCUUGUGCUAUUAAAUGAUAGGUGUAUAAUAUGGUAAGUAUAAUUCUUGUUGCAUGAACUUACUAAGCACAAUGUGCUUACCCCGUUCUCUUUUUUCCCUAUUUUGUAGUGCCCGGGAGCUCGAAGGUUGGAGAUUAGUCGGAGCUUUAUCACACUAUCAACCCAUAUCUUUUGGUAUUUGAAAAUGACUUAUUUUGAAAGAAUGGCAUGUAUAGACUAAAUACCAAUAUUACAUAGAAAUGAAUGUUUGUAACUUAGCUGUUGGUAUGGCUAGAGUAAGUAUAACUUUGAAAUUUUGCGAAAAAUUUCUUAUGGCUUCGAUUUAAUAUCAGUUUAGUCCCGAUGUAUGUUUUGGGCUUCGGAGGCCCAUCCAAGGGACGUCAUGACAUGAUUCGAUAAAUGAAUAGUAAUUAAACUCGUAAUAACAGAAAAAUUAAUUCAGUAAAAUCUGGUAAUGCCUCGUAUCCUAUUCCGGCGACGGAAACGGGUAGGGGGUAUUACAAUGUAUGCCUAACUUUUGGUUAUAUCAUGCUCACCUAUGAGCAAGGUAAGUGUUUUAAUUCCAUUUGAACUUAUUAAGCAUUUAAAUGCUCACUCUAGUUGUUUCUCCUACUUGUAGAUCAUCACAACUUGCAAAACUCUCAAAGCCGAAUCUUUACGAAUGUCACACUAUCAUUGAAAUGAUAGAAAUAUGUUUAUUUUGGUUCCUAAAGUUGAGUUAUGUAUAUAGGAUCAUUGUGUUUUGUAAUGGUCAUCCUUAAUUAUGAUUGCUUAUGUUAUGUUAUGUUAAUGGCCAAGACUAUGUUGUUUGCUAAGUUUAUAUAUGGUCUAAUAUAAGUCUAAUGUGAUCAUAUCAAUGCCUUUUGAAUCCUCAAUUUUUAAAGCUUACAUGGACCUUAUAUGUUUGAACUUCGAAAUAUGGCAAUUUGAUAGAUUAAGAUUGGUGAAUGGCUUGAAUGAGUUAGGUUUUGAUCAUGUGUUUGGUGCCAAUUGAUAGGGAUUCUAAAUGUGUUAUAAACUCAGCUUGGUAUGGUUUGGGAUAAUUUGAUGCAUAGAUGAAAUUGGUAUAGGCAUGUGUUUGUAAGAAAAAAAAAUGUGUUUGAUUGAAAGUAUUAAAUGUGUGCCAAAGUGAUUCUUGCCAAAACAGUGGUGACGUUGCGACUACAAGUCCCCAACGUCGUGACAUGGAUCGACAGCGAGUGACGUUGCAACGUUGAGAUGUUUGAAGUCAUAACAUAACUCAUUGAUUAAUGAUGUCGCAAUGUCAACUUGCAAAUUUUGAAAACUUUACAAUUUAGUCAUUAAUCGACCUUGAAUUAGUGAAAGGUCACAAUGUCAACUUGCAAAUUUUGAAAACUUUACAAUUUAGUCAUUAAUCGACCUUGAAUUAUUAAAAGACCUUUCAUAAGCUCGUAUAAGAACAUAAAAUGUUUUUGUAUCAUAUUGAAAAUGUGUUUUAUACUAAUGAGCAUGCUAAAAUGAUUGAAUUGUAUUGAAGCUUGUUGUAGUUGCUUUGGUUACAAAUGUAGCAUCCCGUAACUCGGACUCGACGAUAGGGUCAGGAAAGGGGUGUUACAAGGAGUCUACUGAUGGAGGAAAAACUUCUACUUUUUACCAACCUCCUCAUAGCACCGUUCACCUGCUGAAGGCGAAUAUGAAAAGGGUUGAUUUUCUGAGCACUAUUACUUUAGUUUGAUCAAGACUUUAGCCCUCUUUUGUAACCAAAAAAAAUGAAAAAGAAAAAAAAUCAUUGGAGAUGGUUGGUUUUAAGACCCUUAAUAAGGCAAUUAAAUAAUUAGGUUUGUUUGGAUAAUUAAAUGAAAAGAAAAAUAAAUGUGAAAUUAAAAAAAGAUAUCAAGAGGAAAUGUCUUCUUUAUCGUCAUGAAAAAAAAAACAAAGAAAUAUCAAGAGGAGACAUGGGUUUGAAUCUUGGAAAUGAUAUUGUUGAGAGGGAUAAUCAUGAACUUGGAUCAUAAAACAAAUAUGAACAUACUUAAAAAAAAAUCCAUUUUUUUAGAACUAUUUUAAUUUGAAAAGGGUAUUUUUUUUAAAAAAAUAAUUUUUCAAUAAUAAUUUUUUUGUAACUUUGAACAACUUUUGCAACAUUUUACAUUUUUAUAUUAUUAUCAAUCGUAUUUAAAAUGAAAUUGGACAAAUGAUUGUCCUCAAAUUAAUGAACCACCACUUGUGUAAGUUCAUUCUUUAUUUUAUUAAUUUUUGAAGAUUUCUUUAAAAAAUUAAAUUUUAUAAUUUUUUUUGUUUGGUCAACAACCACAUUAUCAAUCAAUGCUUAACACAUGGCAUGUUCUCAUUAGCUGAGUGGACCACCUUUCACACCAUUAACUUUUGGGGCCAAAUACUAUAAUAAAGCAAUAGUUUAAGUAAUGAGAUAGAAUAAAAGUUCAAAUACUUAAGUGAGAAAAAGUGUAUAGUAAACUUGAAUAAAGCAUAAAUAUUAUGAAAUUUAAAAUUGAUUCGUCUAAAUGAAUAGGACUUUUUUUUUUUAAGUUAGGAUUAAUCUUACGUGUAAAUUUAGAUUAAGUUAAAAUAUGUUAUAGGUUCUUGUACUCUUUACAAAUUUGGAAGAAAUUUAGGUUUUUUAAAUUUUAAAUUUCAAAAUCCAAAUUCAAUUUGUUAAAUUUAUCAAUGCGACAUUUUGAAAUAAUAAUAAAAACUCACUUAAUAGUAAUAUAAUUAAUAUUUAAUAUUUAAUAUUUAAUAUUUAAUAAACUUGAAUUUAAUAAAAUAAUUUUAAUAGUAUUAAUAGGUAGAUCUAAAUUUUGAAAAUAAAUAAAUAAAUAAAAUUUUAAAAAUAAAAAUAAAAAAAUUACAAAAAGAUACAGACCUUAGGUUGGUGUAACCCCAGGAACUGGUUUGGGAUGCAAGUAAGGUUGUCUCUAGAACUUCCCACAAAGAAACAGCUCGUUUCAAUGGGACAGCCACCGCCAGGAACCUGCAUUUAUUAAACCCCAUUAUUAUGGGAAACGAGACACUAAUUUCUUUAUGGACCAAUGAAUGCAGUUGUUGUUUUCAGAAUUUAUUAAGCAAGUCCCUCCACACACACACACACACAAAAAUCUCCAUUUUCCUUUUCAAAGAGGAAAAAGUAGAGAUAUAGCAGUGGUGCGUGUCACAAAUGACUCGUGAUUCUCAAUCCAAUAGCGAAAUGGUCUUCAAUGCUGUGUUGUUUAUAUUAGAGAAAGACUACAAGCAACUUAAUUAGUCUCAAACUCCAACCUAACUAACUAAAUUUCUAUUUGUUUAUACCAAAGGUGUUAGCAAUCAUGCAUUUGGCUCCUAGUUUCUCAUUACAUUUAAUUCACACCCGACAAAAAAUUCUUAAUUUCAAUCUCCACAAAACAAAAGAGAUAAAUUCCCAAGAACGUGUAUGCAUGGAGUUUUGUGUGUUUUAUGCUGUGAAAAAUAAAUGCUGUCACCUAACUGAAACCCACCAAAUUUAAAGAGCAAAGGGAGUCCCAAGUCGAAAAUCGAAUAUUUUAAUGCAUGCCCAUUAAAGCUCCAAACAAUCACCUUUUAGUUCCACAACACGUAACCAAAAGUAUCUAUACUUAUUCGGGUUUUAUUUAUUUACUUUAAAAAGAAAAACAUUAAACUUCAUUAGCAAUUCCUAAACUGAGGGUAAGCUCUUAAAAUAUCUUAUAGUUUAAGCUCACUUUAAUUUCCAUCUCCUAAUAAGUACAUUAUCAAUCUACCAACUCCAAAUUAAAACCAUUUAUCUACACUUUAAGAAAUAUUGCUUCUCUCCCAUCAUUAUCAUUGAUAUACUAAAUAUAUCAAGGAAUAUGCCAAGUCUCGUUGAUCCAAGCCAAUCACGCACCAUACCCAAAACUUUGUUUUCAUGUCCAAUGGCUUCAAGACAAAUGCCCUCUCACCAACUCUCAGCAAUUAAAACUCUCAACAAACUUCAUCUGCCUCAGCCUAUUAAAGGGUUGUAAAUGUUAGUAUUCAAACUACUGGAUACCACAUUGUAGGAGUGGUCUUCCCAUCAUUAAAAUCAUUCACACCAGCUUUACCAAUCACCUAUUUGCUAUUUAUGAUACAAACCAGGAAAGUUGGAAUGAAACUGAAAUAUGGCAUGUAAGCUUGUUAUACUGUUCUUCUUUGUUAAUCUCCUAAUGCAAAUACCAAAAGUAAGGGCAACAGUUCCUGCAAUUAUCGUUUUCGGAGAUUCUACGGUGGAUCCAGGGAACAACAACCAAGUAUCUACAGUUCUAAAGAGCAACUUCGAGCCAUAUGGCAGGGAUUACUAUGGUGGUCAGCCAACAGGACGUUUUUCUAAUGGAAGGAUUGCAACAGACUUCAUUUCUGAAGCCCUCAGGAUCAAGCCAGCCAUACCUGCAUAUCUGGACCCGAAGUAUGACAUAGAAGAUUUCGCUACCGGAGUUUCCUUUGCUUCAGCCGGGACUGGUUAUGACAAUGCUACUUCUGAUGUGCUAGUAAGUCGAGCUACAGAUUGGUGAUAAGUUAACCGUCUUACCAUGUGAAACAGAAGUCAUGCAGUGAGUUGUAAAUUUUUGUUUGCAUCAGGUUUUCCAUGAAUGUUGUUAAAUUCCAUUUUGAUUCUUGCCUGCAACAAAUGACAAAAGAUUUCAGUUUCAACAUGUUCUUUUAAUCUAGUUCAGUACAUUUAAUCAACUAUAGACAACAGGUCAUCAAUUACAACUUACAAAAGCCAUUUUCUUGAAUUUGCAGUCUGUCAUACCAUUUUGGAAGGAACUGGAGUACUACAAAGAAUAUCAGAACAAGCUAAGAAAACAUCUAGGCAAAGAUGAAGCUAAUCAACGUUUUUCUGAAUCAUUGCACCUAAUAAGCAUAGGAACCAAUGACUUUUUAGAGAACUACUACAUUUUUCCUACCAGAUCUUCGGAGUAUUCAGUUGACGAGUAUCAGAGCUUUCUGAUAGGAAUUGCCAGCAAUUUCAUCAGAGAGCUUUACAAGCUCGGAGCUCGGAAGGUAGUCAUUGGCGGCCUUCCUCCAAUGGGAUGCUUACCAUUGGAAAGAACAACAAAUAUGUUCUUUGGAAGUGACUGUAUCGAUGAGUAUAAUGAUGUGGCUAAAGAUUUCAACAAGAAGUUACGGGGUGCAGUCACAGAGUUGAAACAGGAGCUUGGUGGAAUCCAUCUGGUUAUGUCAAGCCCCUACGAUAAGCUCAUGGAAAUGAUUCGGAAUCCAAGUCACUUUGGUAAGUCAUUAUCGAUAGUUUACAAAAGUUAAACUACUGUUACUAAGGUCAUAUAUAAAGAAAAAGAAUACCUAGAAUAAGAGCACAUCCACUACUUGAAUCCAAUCACCUAACUUGUCCAAACGGUUAACUACUGUUUUAUGCCAUCCACAUGGGUCAGAUAUUAUGUACAAAACUAGUCUAGUAAAAUUAACCAUGUUGAACCCCGUAAAUAGCGCAGUUACUUCAUUCAGCUUCCCUUAAACGGUAGCAUAUAUCAAAUCUUGUUUGGAAUCCUAGCAUCUACAAGCCUUUCCUUAUCCCUGAUUAUGGCUUCCUUCGUACCCAAGAUAUUCAGUAAUAUAAAUGAUUUUGCAUGCGUUUUAUUAGAGACAUUGCUUACCUCUACGGCCAUGAGAUGAUCCUUUGACUUCAAGCAUGAAUGGACUAAGACAUAGAAGGCCGAUAUACAAAAACACAAUCAUGGAUACAAGUAUAUGAAACCAGACAGAAACUAGGUACUUUCAUGCCCCCCAUGUUGUCACUUGCCUUGAGCAAGCCUCAAGAACUCAUUCACUAGUUUCAUCCAAUGAACUUUUUUGUUUAAAACAUGCAUAAAACCAUGCAAUAUCAUACCACCUAAUAAUGAAGAGCCAUAACACCAUAAAAACAAACCUUUUCAGGCAAAGCAAAGCAAUCUCUGUGUGUGUGUGUGUGUGUGUUUGGAUGUGUUCUUGAACCUAUGUGCGCACAGUAUGAAUGCAGAUGUAAUUAGGCAAGUGUUUUAACAUACUUCUCCUCUUAUGGUAAAUUUCUUAUAAAUUUUCUACAUUACAGGAUUUGAAGAUGCAGAAACAGCAUGCUGUGGGACUGGAUUCUUCGAGAUGAGUUACCUGUGUGAUAACAUGAACCCAUUUACAUGUUCAGAUGCCAAUAAGUAUGUAUUCUGGGACGCCUUCCACCCGACAGAGAAAACAAAUGCCAUUUUGGCUGAUUAUGUGGUCAAAACUACCCUAGCCGAGUUCCAAUAAUUACUAAAAGUAAAAGAAAGCAGCACUGCUUCAUUGUUGUAGAUGCCAAUAAGUAUGUAUUCUGGGAUGCCUUCCACCCGACAGAGAAAACAAAUGCCAUUUUGGCUGAUUAUGUGGUCAAAACUACCCUAGCCGAGUUCCAAUAAUUACUAAAAGUAAAAGAAAGCAGCACUGCUUCAUUGUUGUAGAACUAGUAUUAGUAGGCAUUAUAUUUACUAUUGCCUUUUCAACUACAUCCAAUGAAGGAAAAUAUAGAAAACAAUAAGUCAACUGGAUGAAUGCAUGUUAGAUGAGAAAACAUAAGAACAAGUUCAAACUUCAAAUCAAGCAAGUUAUCCCCCCCCCCAAGAGAAAACAGCUAUUUCUGUUGUGAUCUAAGAGGUUCUGCAAUUUUUUUUAUUUUGGAAGAGUGGUUUUGCAAAAUAAUUGCAAGAAAGAACCAUUCAAUAUUUCAAAAUCUAAUAGACGAUAUUGCUGUAAGAAGAGAAAACAGUUAGAUUCAGAAAAGCUUCCUAAGAGAUCCCACCAUAGAAAUGGACAUUGUCUACUCGAAUAAGAUUAACAAAUAAAAUUGUUCUUCAUUAUAAACUAAGAUCCUUCAAAGAAAAGGUUUCGUUGAGAGGGAAAGCCUAAAUUUUAAUAAGAAAUUUGCUCCAAACUAUCAAAUAUCAGCAUAUACAAAUAAUAAUAAUAAUAAUAAUAAACUGAUUUAAAAGAACAUGAAGCAGCUAGAGAUCUUCAAUGACAAGAUAUGGGAGACACUCGGUGCAGCACAACUUGAAUCCUUCGGCUUAUUUUGGCACUUUAGGAAAAUGCAGUUUGAUAAGUGCAGGAAGUUCAGCCAGCUCAACUUGAGGCUUGCCCAAUAAAAUACUCCUCAAUUUCUCAUCACAAUUGACAAGAUUCUUGUUGUUUGGAUCCUAAUCAAGAAAAAGUGACAUGCUGAGAGAUCUUUGGGUAAAUUUGUGUAUAUACCAGGGCAUCAAGACUAAAAGUUCAAAAUCAAUCUAUGAGUAUAAGGUUCAAAGAGUAGAGAAUGAUUCCAAAAAAUGAGAAUUACAAACUUUAUGAGCCCAGUGCUGAAUUGCCAGCCAUGAUAAACAAUUAAACAUACAUAAGAAAGCCUUCAUAACAAAUAAAAUCAUUUAAGAACCACUAGACUCUAGAGCAAGUGGUGGUGACAACAGCGGUGCCCAUGAAUUCCAUCUUAUAGCAUCAAACUGUCUAUGAUAAAAUGAAUGAUCCAAAACAUGAUUAACAUUUCCUGGGACAUACAAUGCAAACCUGUAGAGAGAUGAUAUCAUUAUCAUCAUGAACACACAUCUUCACAAAUUGUAGUAAAACAUUAUCAUUCAUGGAAACAAUGAUAUAAAGAUGCCAAAUGUUUGAUAAUAAACACCUGAUACAGAUAAAAUACUCAUUUGAAAACUCAUAUUAACCCCCGGGGGGGGAGGCUAUUUGUCCCUACUUAAACAUCACAACAACUUACCAAUCCAACUCUGACAUGCUAAUAACGAAUUGGAAGACCCAACUAUCAAUGAACCAUGAGAUUUAUUCAAUAAUCUACAGGCAACGCCAGGGAGUGCAAAACAAUAGGAAAAAGAUAUGGGUGAAUAAAGCCUCUCCAAGAUUCGUUUACAAACAUUUGAUUGAACAGAGGAUAGACCUAAGAGUACCUGAAGAUUGUUCUCUUUGAUAUAAGACCAAACACGAAAGAAGCAACCCAAACGUGAAAUCUGAGACUGACCCACAAAUUCUCUAACUGGGGAAGGAAGAUUUGCAAGGUCAAUCAAGUUAGCAAGCUUCUUGGGGUUAUCAGUGAUUGUCUUCUUCAGUCUCUGUGGCAGCAUUUUUUCUACCUCCUUCUCUUCUUCCUCGCUAUAUAUCCAAAAAACCAUACAUCAAACACUUAACAAAAUAAUAAUAAUAAUAAUAAUAAUAACAAAUUUUCAACACCCAAUGAAUUUUAAGAAAAAAAUUUAUGUUCUUUGCUGCUAAAAAAAGCAGUACAAGCUUAAGCUUCUGGGGAAUUUUAUCAAACAGUUGGCGCCAUUUGGUUAUCGAAUUCGUAACCUUCUACAUUCGUUGUCAAUUGCUAAAAUUAAUAGUUUUGUUAGAAGAUAGUUCAGCUGGUUUACCUGAAGAGGAACGGGAUGGCGGCAAAGUUCAGGGGUUAAAAUGGUAAAGAGAAGCAGUUCUGAAUACCAAACUUCAAGGUUUUGCAGGCGAGAGAGAGAGAGGGAAACGAAAGCGUGAGUAAAGGGCACUUAGUAAGAACUGAUGGUUGCUUUGCUUGAGUUCUUCAAAACGGCAAGGGUAGUAAUAAUGAAACCACAAAUUUUAUAUGUGUUUUAUUUUUUAUUUUUGGUAAUUUUUAUUAUUUUUAAUAGUUUUUGGUAAUUUUCUACAAAUUUAUAUAUUCCUUUUAUAUUUUUGCAAUUUUUUCAUAAAUUUCUUAUCUUUUAUAUUUUUUUAAUUUCAAGGCUAAUAUAAUAAAACAGCUAGUUUUGUAAUUAAAUAAGUCACUAACUUGAUUUUAAUUUAUAACUAAAAAUAUUUAAAACUUUUUAACUAAUUUGUCUUUUAUGUUGUGAAUUUGAUAAGAAUACAUAACACCAUCACUCUUUUUAAAAUUGUAUGUUGACGUUAAAGUAUAAAAUUUCUACUGCCUCGUUAAGAAAUUAAAAGACUGAAAUUUCAAAAAAAAAAAACUUUAAUAUUAAAAUCAAUGAUUUUUAUAGACAGAAACCAUAACCACAAAAGGGUGAAUUGUCAGAAAAUUUCACUUUUUCUUUAAUAUUUAUCAUAUUAGACCUUUUUUAAUAUUCGUGGAAUUAGGCCGAUUUUUUAAAACACGCUAAGUUAGACGAGUUUUGAUCAUACUUUGCAAGAAAACACGUUGAGUUGGACAUAUUUUCAGUGAAUGUUGCAGGAAAACGCUACCAGUUAGACGCGCUUUCUUGCUUUGUCAGUAAAACACUUCUAACUGGAUGCAUUUUUCCCAAUGGCUAUCCCGAGUGAAUUCCAACAACUACUUUCCACCCCCAACAGUAAAAAAAAAAAAACCUAUUUAAAACCCCUCAAUUCCAUUUUUUUUCAAUUCACUCUCAAUUUCUUUCAAUUCUCUCAAAUUUUAUAAAAAUUGUCUUAAGAAUUUUUUAUUUAAUUUUGUAUUAUGAAAUUUAAUCGUUUUUUUUAAUUCUUAAUGGUCAAUUUUCUUAUUCGUUUGGAUGACAAACACAUUUCAGUCUUCUAAUUGCAAAUGGUAAAAAUAAUAUUUAUAUUAUUUUUAAUCUAAUUUAAUUUCAUUAUUAAAUUGUUAUAUUGAAAUUUAAAAUUUUGUAUGUUUUCUUUUAUAAGUAGGUGGAAGAUUGAAUUUUGGAGACAUAUAUUAAACAGUCUUGACGCAAUACCCGUGACAACACACGUAUGCGAAGCGGUAUAUUUCUUGAUAGUCCAUAACCCCGUCUUUUUCUUCAUAGAAGUCAUGAUUUUCCAUGGACAUCUACUAUCUUGCAUUGCACAUUUCGCCUCGAAUUUCUCUGAUCGAGAUUUAACAAUGUAGAAGUUUACUCUAUUCUUUAUGUUGUAUCACUUCAUUGCUACGACAAAAGCAUCUUUAGAGGAGAACUCAUUCUCCACUUCUAAAUCAUCAGCAUCCAACAAAGAACUCGCAUGGUCCGAUUCUGUGUGGGAGUUCUGAAAACACCAACCCACCUUCUGCUGAGAGAUCUACAUUAUGCAUAUGGGUCGGAGGUGAGUAUGUCCUGAAUUGUAGAUCUUCUUCGACGGCUUCAUUCGUACCUUCAUCGUCUGAACCUCUAUCUUCUAGUUCAGUUGGAACCGGUUCUGGUUUAGAAAAUAAUGUAAUUUCUAAAUCAUCCAGCCCAGACUCCUACAUUGGAUUGUCAUUGGUUUUAGUGUCCUCUUCAAUCUCAACCCCUCUAGCAUGUCCAAGGUUGGAUGUCCCUUCACCGGUAGAGGUUGUAGGGAGUACAUCAUCCAUUCUUGUAUAGUUGUCGGUACAACCAAAACCACCUGCAGAUUGUCCACCGGUGGAACUUAAUGUCAUACCCCUGUAAGUGUUCCCGACGUAUAACAUCAGACUCUCAAAGUUGAAAUCAAAACUACUAACAGAGUGUCAUGUCAGGGUGUUGACUGCCUAUAAAUGAGUUACCGUUUACAGAAUAAAUAUAACACCAAAAAUACAAGAGUUAAGAAUGAUGGUGUCCGGAAGUGCACAGGUCAAAUUGUAAUAUAAUUUUACAACGAAAUACCAGAAGUAUUCUGAGAAUCAUACCCAAAGGAGGAUGAAAUAAAUAAUGAAAAAUAUUUUUUACAAUAAUAAGUCUAAAUAGUAGUAAUUAUUUCCUAUAUACUAUUAACCAUAAAAAUAGAUUAAGAACAAUAAAAAUAAAUAAACAACAAAAAUAAAUAAAUAAAGAAAAAUAAACAAAUUAAUUAAAUUGAUAAACCAAUCAGGAAGAUUAACUCGUUUCAUGGUUUGUAACUAACUUCGGAUUAAGGUUUUGAGAUGGAUUAGUAAUCGAUUAACUAAUUAUUACCUCUCGGUCUCUAAUUAACUAAUUGAUUCAUUGAUAAUAUUCGCUUAUCUCCCGACCUCACUUUCUCAACCAAGAUAAUUACGAUUUACUCAAUUUGACUUAUCUUCCGACCUGUUCUAGCUUAUGAUAACUUAUUAGGGUUGUCAAGCCUAACAAUUUAAAAACACAUAAUUUAUACCAACUAAUCCUUCUUGAAAAACCCCAAAUUCUUUGUUAAUCACAUCCUCAUCCACUCAUUAAUCUCCCCUAAGAUAUUUAGUCACUCAUGCUUUUAAUAAUCCCAACUUCGAUUGAACAAACCAAGUGAAAAACAAAACCAACUUGGAGAAGAAAAGAGAUUUGAAUAAUUGUAGAUUGAAUAUAAAAUGAGGAACGAAAUAACAAAUCUCUCGAUUGAAAUAAAGAAAUAAAACAAAUGUAAAUAAAAUUAUAAUCGAAUACUUUUAAUUAAAUAAACACGUUAUUGAAUCAAAACUAAUUCAAGAAGAAAAACAAGAAAGUUAUGAAAAGUCGAAAAGAAAAUAAACUACAACUGCUUUUAAACUACGAGGGUUUUUUGAAGGCGUCUAGGAUGACUUGAUUAUAUUCAACCCUUAAUGUCUUAUUUAUAGAGGUGUCAACAAUUCAUAUUAGGUGUUUGGCACGUCCUAGGUCUUCAUAUAAGUUUGAUUGCGUAGACAAAAAUUACCCCAAAAUACAUAGGCAGCACGUCGGCUUUAUGUCGCACCACACACCUUGCAUGGUGUGACACGACACCCAAAUACUAUCUUGUCUCGUUCAUUUUGUGCUUUGAUGUUCAGGAAAGCUUGUACAUCAUUCGACCCUUACUUCCACGUCAAUUGGACCUUUAUAUAUCCAUCUUACACACUGAAUUAAACCAAUUAGCACAAUCUCAGGCCCGUGUCAGUCUAUUGGGUCACAACACCUACAAACUGUUUAAAAACACUUAUUUUUAUUAACUUUCAAUCCUAAGGUCUAAUUACUGAAAAAGUUGUCGAAACCAUUUUUUUAUUUGAAAAAUGGAAAUCGAUUUUGAAAAUGGAGUGGCCACCAAUCUUUUAUUGGGGUGUGAUCAGGUCACCUUAAAAAUGAUUUUAGGUCUACAAAUUUUGAGAAAACAAGUUCGGGAGUCGGUUACGCACAAGGAAGGGUUAACACCCUCGUAACGCCCAAAAUUGGUACCGAAUUAAUUGUUUAAUGUCUUAGUGUCGAAACUUGAAAAGAUUUUUAAAUACGAUCCCAUGAAAUGAAAGCUUAAAUAAUUGAAUUGGCUAAAUAGACGGACCUAUUUCAAAGAGAUAAAUCGCCACACUCAGUAAGUUAGAGUGCAGCAAUUCAAUCUUCGGAGCUAGAUUCGUCUUUCCUUUUUAAAAAUUUUUAAAAAAAUCAUAUGUUUUAAGAAGGAUAUUUGAUUAUUUAAGCCAAUCGAGAAAUCAGAAUCCAGUAAGUUAGGGUUCAAUUUCUCGAAAUUCUUAAACAUCAAAUAUUGCCUUUAUUUUAAAAUCGAGACAACAAAAUGUCAUAUCCAGUAAGUUAGGAUCCAACAUUUUGAAAUCUUAAGAACUUUAUUUUAACAAUUGUAUGGUUUUAAUAAAAUGAACACUUGAUUAUCUAAAUUCAUCGAGAAGAAUUGAAGCCCAGUAAGUUAGGGCACAAUUCUCUUGAGAACUUAUGAACACCAAGCUAUUUUAGGAAUUAUGAAAUAAAAUGAUUAUAGUGCUUUAAUAAAAUACAACUCUUACAAAUGAAACAUGAUUGAAUAACAAUACAUAAAAUGCAAAAAAAAAAAAAAUAGCAAUAUAAAUUUACACUAAGGAGCAAUCAAGCAUGUAAUACAUCAACAUUGAUAAUUAUGCAUAUAAUAAAUUAAUAAUCAGUUUUCUAAAGAUACUUUGAUUAGAAAUAAAAUAAAAUAAAAAUAUAGUUAAUAUGGAAAUUUAAAAACAAUUUGAUAAUAAAUAACCAAAAUAAAGUAAAGGAAAUAAAUAAUUUUUAAGAAAGAGAGUAUUUAUGCAUUGAAAAAAACUUUAUAAUUCGAAAUUAAUAAUAUAUUUUAUACACAUGUACACCAAAAAUAAUUCCAUAUAAAUAAUAUAUACAUAUAUAUAAAAGAACCAUGUAAUAUUAUUGUGAAAAUAAAAUUUGAGUUAUAUUAUGAAAUACAUUAUUUAAAAAUAAUAAGUAAUUUAUCAAAUUUUUAUAAAAAUAUAUCAAGAAUGAUGGAAACAAAUAAUAAUAUAUCAAGUUGGAAAAUAAAAGUGUACAAUAGAAAUUUUGAAAUAAUGUUUAAUAAAUUUAAAACAUAUUGAUAAUAAUAAUUUGAAAGAAUUGUGUAUUAUAUCUUAAAAUUAUAUUAAUAAUCAGUUUGAAAACAAUAUUAAGCCAAUAUUAAAAUAAUAUUAAAAAUAACGGAUUAAUAUGAGAAUUGAUUUAUUUUUAAAAAAUACUUUUGAAGGCAAAAUUAAAUAUGAAAAAAAACUUUUUUUUUAAAUUAACAACAAUAAUUAUAAUAAUAUCAACAAAUUUUAAAAUCGAAGCUUAAAUAAAAUUAGUAUAAAAAAGGAAAAGAAAAUUAAAUAAAUAUACAAUAGACUCAAAAUAUUGGUGUAUAAUGAAUUUAAAAAUAUUAAAAAAAGCUAAAAUAAUAAUUUAUUACAUUUUAAACUAUAAUAAUAGUAAAUUUAAACACUAUCAAAAUCAAAUAUUACAAAUAAUAUUAAAUUUUAUAAUAUAUGAAAGUAGGAUUAAUUACAUUUAAAAAUAUUAUUGAAUUAAAAAUGAAAACUAAAUUUGCAUUAAAUUGAAACAUAUUUCAACGUUGAAGGACUAAAUCAGCAAUUAAACGCUAAACCUGAAUAAUCAAAAUCAAUAGCAGAAAACGAUGCCGUUUAGGCUUGGAUCCAAAUGAAAACAGAAUUAAAUAUGCAGUACAAAUUAAAAAAACUGAAGAAAAUUAGAUUGAAACUACAUAAAACAUAGAGGGACUCAUUUCGCAAAUAAACCGACGAACGAAACGCGUGGCUCCUGCCCCGGGUCGGGUCACCGCGCGGAUACCUGCGUCAUACCACGUCGUUUUGAGACCACAAGGCCCGGCCUCAAACGACGCCGUUUCUAGCUAGACAUAAAAACUAAAGUAACCCUAAUUUAAACAGACUCUUCUUCCUAAAAAAAAGAAAAGCAGAGACUUAAAAUGAGCAGAUCCUCGGUGUCACAUUUUGGAACCUACUGCUCAUGGGACCUUCAACCCUCGCCCGGCUCCAAUUGUGACGGAGCGAACGACGGUCAGGUAAGUUCCUUGCUCUUUUUUCUUUUCUACUUCAAUAUUAAUCAAUGAACAAAGGAGCAGAAAAAAAAAACAAAGAAAAGAUUAACUAUCACCUUUCGAAUUUUUCUUUUCACUGAAAAUGAGUUUUUUUGUAUUCAAUUUCUCUGAAUGCGUAACUGUUUACAGUCUAUUCUUGGAUUUUUUAUAGCCUGAUUUUUUUACAAGAGAAAAAGAAAAUUAAAAUAAAUAAAAGGAAAAUUGCCCCGUCCUUGUUAUUCUGUUAUUUUCUUUUGCUCUCAUUUUCGUGUGUUUGCUUGCAGGUACUCGGCCAGCCUGGAGGUGCAUCUGUGUGGAGAUGACGCACGCGCCUAGUGGCGAUGCACGCGCAAGGUUUGUUGGAUUCAUCUAUGGCGCUGAAGCAGGGGUCUGUUGUGGCUUCACCAGAUUAGUCUAGAAACCACUAGGGUUUCUAAUUUUGGGUUGUUUGGGCUCGAUGUAUUCGGGUUUGGGCUUGGGUAAUGUAUUUUGGGUUUGGUUAUUUAAUUUCUGGUAUGUAAUUAGGUGGUGUAUUGGGAUGACUAGGUUGAGUAUUAGGAAAUUUGGGUUGGGCUAUUUUUGGCCUGCUGUUGUAAUGAAAAACUGGACAUUUUAUUAUUAUUUAUUUUAUAUAUUUUUCAUAUCUGGGUUUUAAUAGUUGGGCUCGGGCCGGAAAAAAUUUGGGUAUUACAAACGUAAAAUAAAAUCCUAAAUUGCCUAGAAAACAAGUUCAAAAAAUAGACAUUUUCUGUUAAUUCACACCUACAGAAAUAAUUUAAGUGUUUGUUUAAAUAAAGUUUAGAUAUUUUUACUAUAUUAGUACAUUUUUAAUAGAGACGGAUAGAAGGCAUGAGUUACUGGCAUGGUGAAACAGCGAAGCCCCCAAGACCAAGAGAGAUCUGUUUUAGUAGGCGUUCAUCUCAAACAAAACAAUAAAGUAAAGAAUAAAACCUGAACAAGUGAGCUGGGACUAGGAGAAUCCAAUAAUUGCCUAAAACCCCAACCCCUUCAGAAUCAUAACAUAAACAAAACCCACCACGGUAGAAAAGACAAAUAGGGUUUUUGAAACAAAUUCAGAUUGGGCUUUAUAACUUAAAAUGAAGAAAAAAGUACAGAAAGUCCAGGCUAAGCUAAAUGCAAGUUCUGGCCCAUAAACAAAUCAGAACUGUGGACCAAAUCCUAAAGGAAAAUAGAAAAAAAACAGUCUUUAAGCAACUUAAAAUCAAAAUCUUCUAAAACCUAAUAAAUGCUAUCAUAUCUUGCCCAAUCAGAAAAAAUCCAUUUCUGUCUUUUCAAAAUCAUCUAUUCAUUUCUUCAAAGAGACGUUUCCAGAUUUUAAUGAAGCCUUGUCUGCCACUCCUUUGAAUUAUCACUAUACAGCUUCUUUAACCGUUCACUUCUUCUCAACACAUGUCCUCUGCCUUUCUUUCGAUUUCUUCCAGAUUAGCAGCAUACUCCGGGACUCUUCCAAUCAGGUAAAGUUCUUCUUUUUCCUUUAAUGUCACCGUCGCUAGUUUGUGUGCCAGGUUGUUCGCUUCUCUGGGAAUAUACUCAAGAUAGUAUUUUCCAAAAUUUUUUAACAGCUGAUGUAUAUCUUGGAUAUAUGCUCCGAUUCUGGAUUUAUCAUGGCUUUUCAGUUUGCACUUCUUUAUAAUAGAUAACGCAUCCCCUUCGAUAAUAAUGUUUGACCAUUGCAUGUCCCUACUUAUUUGAGUUGCUGUACGACACGCUAUUGCUUCUGCGGCAAAGGCUGAUGCCACAUGAUGAUGAAUCUCUGUGCAUGAUAAAAGUGUGUUUCCAUCACUAUCCCUGGCCACGAUUCUCGCUGCUGAUUGCCGUGAGUUCCCAUCAAAUGCUGCAUCGAAGUUAACCUUCACAAACUGGACCGGUGGGUACUUCUAUUCCCUGCCUGUUUUUGCUCCAAUCUCAUUCAGUUCACUAAUAUAUCUCUUUCCCAGAUCUAUUAGUCUUUUCAUGCACUCUCCUAUUCCUUUCUCCCCAUAUUGCCCAAAGAGCACAACAAAAGAUCCGUCACCGAUUGGUGGAAUUCUGUUCAAAAACCCAGGUAAGCCAUUGUACAAAAUCCACAUGAGGAACUUGUAAUAACUCUGGGAAUAAUAGCUCUUCCCAUACUGUUCUUGCCACAAGACAUUCACGGAAUAUAUGAUUUGUAGAUUCUACUGCACUGCCACACCCGAUGCAUGUCACAUUGUUUAACAGCCUUCUGUAGUUCAAGUUGACUCGAGUCGGGAUAUAAUUCCAUGAUAUUUUCCAGAUUGAAAUUUUUACCUUAAGAGGUAGAUUAAGGAGCCAUAGGUUUCUGUAGAAAUUUCUAGAAUCAUUUUGUAAAGCAUAAGCACAAGGGUCAUUUUCGAAGCCAGACCAGGAAGUCAUCGUGAGGUUCUUUUGCAAGUGGGAUACAGAAGAUUUUCUCAGAUAUCUCCGCAGGAAAGGUAGCUUCGAUUAGUUCUUUUUUCCAUUCUUUGUUUCUGUCUUCAAUUAGAUCUGCAACUUUAUAUUCCUGCAAAUGCGAUAACCUGGGAUAAUUGGUAAAAUAAAAUGAUAAUUUUGGAUAAUCCGGUAACCAACUAUCAUUAAUGACCGAGAUUACAGUACCCCUCUCUACUUUCCAACAGCUUCCAUCGAAUAGAACACCUCUCGUUGCCCAUAUGCUUUUCCACGCAAAGGAACUAUUAUUCCCAAGAUACGAAUUAAGGAAAUCCGUUUCUGGAAAGUAUUUAGCCUUUAACACCCUUGCAACUAACGAGUUUGGAUUAUUUAGGAUUCGCCAGCCUUGUUUAGCUAAUAAGGAGAUAUUAAAAUUAGCCAUACUCUUGAAACCUAUACCUCCUUGUUCUUUUGCUCGGCACAUAUUUUGCCAUUUACACCAGUGAAUUCCUCUUUUUCCUUGCUUCUUUUGCCACCAAAAGGUGGCGAAUAAUUUUUCCAAUUCGUCACAUAGGGAAUUAGGGAGAAGAAAGCAUGACAUAGCAUAAGUCGGAAGUGCCUGAAGUAUGGAUUUAAUGAAAACUUCCUUGCCUCAUUGUGAUAAUAGUCUGGUGCUCCACCCUUUAAUUAUGGAGUUAACUUUAUCUUUUAGAUAUUGAAAAGCCUCCUUUUUCCGUCUUCCAACUACAUUAGGAAGGCCCAAAUACUUCUCCAUAUUUGUUGACCCUCUUAUACCUAAGCUCACUGAAACUUCCUCUCUAUCUCUGGUUGAUGUAUUCGAGCUAAAGUAAAUUGUAGAUUUUUCAAAAUUAACACAUUGGCCCGAACAUACUUCAUAUUCCUUAAGGAUUUCUUUUAGCACCCUUACAUCCUUGUUAGUUGCUUCUCCGAACAGAAUGCAAUCAUCGGCAAAAAGUAGAUGUGAAAUCGCUGGUCCUUUCCUGCUUGCCUUGACUCCUCUUAUUCGUCCUUCUUUCAAUGCUAAUCUCAUUAGUGCCGAAAGACCCUCGCUGCAUAGUAGAAAAAGGAAAGGACUAAGUGGGUCACCUUGUCGUAGUCCUCUAGAAGAUUGAAAGAUUCUUCCCCCUUUUCCAUUAAUAUUGACUGCAUAAAAAGCUGUAGUAAUGCAUUUCAUAAUUAAACCGACCCAUUCUUUUGCAAAACCCAUUCUCAACAUGACUUCCUUAAGAAAACUCCACUCAACCCUAUCAAAGGCUUUGCUCAUAUCAAGUUUAACUGCCAUAAAGCCUUUCUUACCUGUUCGUUUUCGUCUAAGAGUGUGUAGGAUCUCAUAGGCUAGCAAUAUGUUAUCAGAAAUUAACCUUCCUGGGAUGAAAGCACUCUACGACAGAUCAAUACACUGCCCAAUAACCCCUUGAAGUCUGUUGGCUAUUACUUUCGCCACAAUUUUGUAGAUAACAGUACAUAGACUGAUAGGUCUGAAACUUGUUAUGUUUUUGGGAUUCUGUGCUUUUGGGAUCAAAACAAUACCAGUAAAAUUUGAAUGGCCUAAAUUUUUGUCACUGUUUAAAAUUUCCAAACAAAAAGUGGUGACUUCUUUACCUACAAUAUGCCAAUAUUGUUGAAAGAAAAGUGCUGGGAAUCCAUCAGGUCCUGGUGCUUUAGUUGGCCCCAUUCCUUUCAAGGCAAGAUGCACUUCUUCUUCCGUAAAUUUUCCCAUUAAGUCUUCAUUUAUUUCUGGUGUGAUUUUCUCUUCAAUGCCUGUUAGGAGGUAGGAUAGCUCACCUACUCCUUUUGAUAUAAAUAACUUCUGAAAGAAAAGAGUAGCUUCUUCACUGAUCAUGCAUUCUUCCGUCACUUCUCCUCCUUCGAUAAGUUCCAGCCUUGAUAUCGUGUUUUUCUUUCGUCGAGAUGUGGCGUGCCUGUGAAAAAAAGCUGUAUUUUUGUCCCCUGCUUUUAUCCAAUUUACCCUUACCCUUUGUUCCCAAUAUCUUUCAUCUUUAUCAAUUUCUAAGUUUAGGUGCACCUUAGUAUCAAUGAUUUCUGCCAUUAUGUCAUCGGUAUUUAUCCUUCUCCAUCAGCAUCUCCAGUUUCUUUGUAAGCCUUUUCUUCAGCCCUUCUUGUCCUUUUUUAAUUUCCCCUGCCCAUUUUUUUAAGUCUGAUUGUAAUUUUUCCAGUUUCUCCAGUACGUUAUUUGUAGAUGAUUCCCAAGAUGCUUUAAUUUCUCCUUCAAGAGACUCUUCCAUAGUCCACCAUGCCUCAAAAUUAAAAAUUGGCUUUCCAAAAUUAUCAUUUUCUGUUUUUGUAGUAAGCAGCAGAGGAUAAUGAUCAGAUAAUGAAUGGGGCAAGUGAUGAAUGUUACCCAUUGGAAAAAGAUUCCUCCACUUAUCAUUGGCUACUCCUCUAUCAAGUCUCUCUUUAACAUUUGUUUCUGGUAUAUUUCCCCUUUCCCAUGUGAACCAAGGCCCUAUGUACCCUAAAUCUUCCAAGUUGCAUUCUUCAAGAGUUUCUCUAAAAACCUCCAUCUGUCUUUCAUCUCUUAGUAAACUUCCUUUUUUCUCAAAAGAAUACAUGAUUUCAUUAAAAUCCCCACUCACAACCCAUGGAUAUGUCUGGUCUUGUCCCAAUUUUCGUAACAAAUUCCACGAAUCAUUCUUCAGAUUGACAUAAGGGGAACCAUAGAAACCUGUAAAUCUCCAUUCUUCAUUGUCAGUUUCUUCCAUAACCAUUGCAUCAAUAUGAUUCUUAGAAAAACUUCUUAAGGUAACCGUAAUCUCUUCUCUCCAUGCUGAGCAUAAACCACAUCGAGAACCUUCUACAUCUACAUCAAAUCCAUUCUGAAAACCACAUCUUCUUCUAACUUUCUCCAUACAUUGCUUGCUUAAUUUUGUCUCCAUUAAGAAGACCAUUUGGGGGUUUUGCUGCUUUAGAAAGUAUCGCAGCCUUCUAACUAUUCGUGGACUCCCCAAUCCACGAACAUUCCAAGUAAUGAUUUUCAUUGCGUUCGGCCGGCUUGCCUCUUGGCAGCCGCCGAUCCUAUGAGUAAAUUAGUAUCACUCUGUUGCAUAGCGUUUCCCAUCGUUUCUAGUAGCGUUUCUCCUUGUUCCUGUUCUCUAUCUUUUUUAGUCCUUUUGUUUCAACUCCAUAUUCAGCUUCUAUAUAGUAAGUCUCUACUAUUUCUUCAGUAGCUUUCCUCUUCUUGUUGCAGUUUCCAUCCUUUUGCUUUGCCACUUUAGGGCUGGAUUGACUCUUCUCCAAGUUGACGACUUUACUGAAUUGGGAUUACUGUCUUGACUUCUCCUCUUAUCAACCACUCACUCAUUGCUCAUAACUGAAUCUUCUUUUUCCUGCUUCUUCAUCUCCUCCUUGUUUUCAUUCACUAGUAGCUCCCCAUGCGUCAUCCCCAACCAAUUAUUUGCUUCUUCAGCUUUGCCAUCUUCAAUCAAAUCUGGCUCAGAGCCACCUGUAUAAAAACAUUGAACCCUAUUCUGAUUUAAAGAGUUAUUUAAUUUAAUACACUCUUUUCCAAGUAAGUUUGAUUCUGCUCUUAGUGCCAUCGUGUAUGGGGGAUUUUCUUUAAUUUUUGUUUUUUCUGCAGGAUUUAGUGAGUUACAACCUGAAAGUCCGUGCCCCAGCUUCCCACAUCUGAAGCAAAAAGUCGGUAAUUUUUCAUAUUUAAAGGAAAUCCACCAUUUAUUCUUAUUAUUCACUGAGACAAAAAUACCUCUUCGAAGGGGUUUCUGCACAUCGAGAUUUAUUUUUAGACGACACCAUUCUCCGUUGAUUUCAGAUCUGAUUAUCCCACCAAAAGUGACACCUAUGGCAUGUAGCAAGUCUUUUUUAUCAAAUUAUGGUAGACAUGGUCCUACCUUCAGCCAGACCGGUGAGGAGUUGAGCCGAAUCUGAGACCUUUCCACCGAUUGGGUAAUCCUGUCGAAAAGGAUUAGACUCUUUCGAAAUAACCAUGGCCUACCUUCCAUAAUCAAUUCUAAAUCCUCUUCCAUCUCAAACGCUAUCAAAAAUAGGUUUUGUCCUGCUGUUUGAAUCUCAAACUUCUUUUCUGUUUUCCACAAACUCUUCAUCUGUGCCCUAAAACUUUCCGGAUUGUAAAACUUCUCUGUCCAUAUUGUGCAGAUCAGGGUUGGUUUUUUAUUCGGAACUACCUUCGAACCUUUGAUAGAUAAUUGGAUAAGCUCUUCAGUUAAGAGUGAAAUCUCGUCCCUCUGCUCACUAUCAUCUCCACCGCUUUCCCCCAUCCCAAGUUGCAAAAGUGACUGCCUUCACUAGGACUCUCGGCGAAGCACUCUUGGAAAAGAAGUAACUAGGGUUUUUUUGUAAAAAAAAAAAUAUUACAAAUAUUUAACAAUGUAGAAUACUUUAAAUUGCUCUUAUUCAAAAAGACAAAUAGGGUUAAUUUAUCUAAAUAAUAUUAAAAAAUUAAAUAUUAAAAUAGAUUGUCAACUGGAUUAUAUACGAAAAUGAAUUUUUUUGGGUCGUGCCUAUCUGAUACGCGCAACAACUUUUUUAUAUUAAAAUAUCUUUUUACUUUAAAUAAAAUAUUAUUAUUUUAUUUUUAUUAAAAAUAUUUAAAUAUAUAUAUACAGGUCAAAAUACAGUUAACGAGUCAAAAUACGGGUUAAAAAUACCCAAGACCAGUCACGCCUAUCAGAUAGGCGUCACUGGUCGAGCCUGACAGGCAGGCGCCACUGCCUCCCCCCUGCGCCCCUCUGCCCCGCACAAAAAUAUACUUUUGUUAUUAAUUAUUAUUUAUAAAUUGUUUAUGUUUAGUGUUUAUGGUUUUGGGUUAAUAUUUGGUAUGAAUGUAAAUUUUUUUUAUAAUUAUUUUAAAAUUAAUUUGUUAGUAAUUUAGGAUUAUGUUAUAUGUAAUUAUUUUAAAAUUAAUUUAUUAGUAAUUUAGGAUUAUCUUAUAAAUUAUUGUGUUUAGUUUAGUAUUUGGUGAGUUUUUAAUAAUGUAAAAUUAUUUUUAAAAAAAUAAUUUUAUAGUUAUUUUGUUCAACCAGUCGCGCCUGUCAGAUAGGCUCCACCAGUUGCGCUUACUAGAUAGGUGCCACCUACCCCAUACCAUUUUUGUAUCCGGGAAAAAAAAAAUACAAACACCACGCCUAUGAGAAAGGAGCUGCCAAUAAAAUAAUAUUUAAAAAAAUAAAAAAUACUAUAAUAUAAAAAAAGAGGUUGCGCCUAUUUUAAUUUUUAUAUUAUAAUAUAAAAACAUACUAUUUUCGUAUAUAAUCCAGGUGAUAACCUAUUUCAGUAUUUAAUUUUUUUUAAUUAUUUAGGUAAAUUAACUGAAAGUAAAGAUUGCCAAAUCCCCGCUGGAGGAUGGAACAAAAAUAUGGUGGCCGGAAACACUCGAAACAGUGGUUCCAUACGCAACCAGAUCUGGCAUCCUACCCAAAAAACCAGCACAAAGGAUGAAAGAAGUGUCACUCCUCAGACCCGGUAGUGAUUCAAGUAUGAAGUGAUUGAAAACUUCAAACUUCAUGCAAAUUCUGCAACUUUACUGAAGCACAGAACAACAUUUUAACCAAUUGAAACGAUACAUCCGAACAUACCAAAUAAUUUUAUAUAUCAGUGUUAGAGUAUACGAUUUGGCCUACAUUGCUUAGCACUCAAAGUUAAUUACAUCAAGGGCAAAAAAUCAUCAGCGUCUCUAUCGGACACCACAUUUGUGUUCCUUUCGUGUAUAAUCUGAGCAAACCGUGUUCUUGAAGGAUAAAUUAAGCGUUGGUGAUCAUGAAAGCAAUCGUUGAUAUCCGAAUUUCUCGAUUUCGAGUAAUUUUAAGACUUCUUGACUGAAGCAUCCAAGUGAGCAGCAGCAACAAUGUCGGAUGGCAGAAGUUCUGAUGUUCUGCUGUUUCAGUUCAACAAAUUAAAACUGAUAAAUCCAAUAUGAAGAACUGUGUCAUAGGAAUGAAUCUGGAGACAACAAUAAACAAGAAGUUGUCAUCUACAGAUGAACCUCCAAACAUGCAAUGCAAAGGUGAAGCCAAACUUUAUGGUCCGGUGAUCUUGAUUUGGGCAAUCAAGUUUCAUUUGACUUGCAGCUUGUUAAACUGUUGACACAUAAUAUCAGUUGGUCAGAUUCGAAUGAACGAAUUAAUAUUAUCAGAAUGCAAGGGAUUUACAACUUCACCAACCUGCAAAGCCAUGAUGAAUUUUCCGAGAUAUGGUUGUUUCCUGGAAUUGAAAUCAAGACCUCUACGGAAACUGAAAAGAGGAUAAAGAUCCGAUAAAUACAACACAAAUAAAAGUAGCAUGAUGAAUGAAAGUAAGUAUGGAUGAACAAAAGGAAGCAAUGUAACACAGUAUACCAACAAGAAACCUGAAAAUUCCCAUACCAUGCACAAUCAUUCACUGCAAAAUCAAACAUUGAAAAUCUAGUUGUCAAUCUAAUCACUUCUCUGCGACAGACCUUCGAGAAAAUUACAGACCAUUUGUAUCACAAAGCAGCCUAUAAUUAGAGAAUUAUACUUCUAUCCAACAUUAGCCUUCAUAGUGAUGACCAAUUACAGGAAUUGGCUGCCUGUGACCUAGACCAGAAGCCAUCAUUUGAAAAUGUGAUACCUCCAGAUCCUGCAGUGCUCAGUCAAAGAUGACACAGCAUCAGAAUUGACAGGAACGAGACAGAUUAAGAAGAUUAGGGUUAAAAAUUUAAAGGAUGAUUCAAUUAUAGAACAAUACAAGCAAGUUAAGAAACAACCGUUAGCUAUACAAGUUCAUAAUCACGUAACCAAUGCCAGCGAUAAGACGAAACGAGAGCAUGAGCAUUUACCGUCUAAACUCUGAAGUCCUGCAAACAAAUUACUGAGCUAGAAUGAAGUUUUUGUCAGAUGGCUAGAGACAAAUCAACAAUAGUCUUGACAUGAACAAAUGCCGCUUUUGAAGUGAUGGAAACAAUUUGCAUCACGAACAACUAUCUCCUGUUUUAUGACACCAGAGACAAGCUUCAUAAAAUCAUGGCAGUCUUCACAUAUGUGCAAAUUUUUGAAUAUCCGAAUUGUUUUCACAGGGUUGAUGCUAAUAAGAGCAAAAGCAAGAGCUAAUCUUUCAUUAUGAUGAAAGAGCUGUUCUAAUUUUUCAUCAUCACUGACAUCAUUGAGUAUAUGAUCUGUCUUAGGCACAUAUCCUGCUAAAAUAGACUUCUCGACAAGCUCCUUCAAUUUUAUAUAGAUCUCCCCAUGUUUUGGAUGAAAACCAUCAGUGGACCUGAAGAUGUGCACUUGACCAUUGACCAUCACCCAACUACACCCAGGUUCUUUCUUAACACCACAAUGGGUCAUCAAUGCUCUGACUCUUCGGACAUCCUCCCACCUACCCUUGGCAGCAAAAAUAUUUGCUAGUAAUAUGUAAUGGGAGGCUAUACCAGGAUUAAGUUCGAAGAGUUUCUCAGCAGCACUUUCACCAAGUUUGUCAUUUCCAUGCAUUCUACAAGCCCCAAGAACUGUCUCCCAAAUCAAGGGAUUCGAUGUAACCUUCAUGUCCUUGAUAAAGCUUUCAACUUCAUUGAACUUGCCAGCUCGACCUAAAAUAUCAAUCAUACAGGCACAGUGCUUAAUUGUGGGUACUAUUCCAAAAACAUUGGUCAGGGAAUCAAAGUACUCUUUCCCUUCAUUUACAAAGCCCAUAUAACUACAGGCAGAUAAAACUGCUAUGAACGUAACCUCAUCUGGCUCAAGGCCUUUGUCUAACAUCAUCCUAAAAGUUUCUAAAACCUUCAAUCCUUGUCUAUGUUGCAGGUAUCCAAAUAACAUCGUGUUCCAUGAUACAGUAUCCGUUGACACCAUGCCCUGGAAAGCAGCUUCAGCUUCUUCUAUGCAUCCACAGUUAGCAUACAUAUCUACAAUUGAAGAAGAUACAAACAUAUCACCUGAAUUCCCAGCCUUAAUUGCCAUUGAAUGAAGCAGCUGCCCGUUUUCCAACAUCGCCAUAUUGGAGCAACUACUCAAACAGGUAGCAAGAGUGAAAUUAUUGGGCGUGACACCUUGCCUCUGCAUAUGAUUGAAGCACUUGAUAGCCUUCUCUGAACAAUCACUUUGAGCAUAACCAGCAAUUAAUGCAGUCCAUGAAAAAAGAUCCCUCUCAAUCAAUUGAGUAAAAAGUAGCUCUGCAUCCGCCAAGAAUCCAUUUUUGGCAUACAAGUCAAUAAGAGAUGUUCCCACUAAAUUAUUAUCCUUUAGGCCAUUCUUUAUUAUAUGGGCAUGCACUUGAUGUCCAAAUUUUAUAUUUAAAAGAUUGGAACAAGAUCUUAAAAUGCUAGUAAAUGUACAGAUAUCAGGCUUAAAACCUUCAGCAAGCAUCUUGUGAAAGAUACUUGGUCCUCGAUCACAAGUUUUACCAUUAUGAGAUCCAGAAAGAAGAGAAUUCCAUGAAGCUGAAUUCCAAGAACUCAUUUCCUUAAACACCCGCCAACCAUUUUGGACUGACCUGAUUUUCAUAUACAUUGCAAUAAGUGCAUUGCUCAAAAUGAUUUCAGAUUCAAAUCCAUGUUUAAAUAUACAAGCAUGAACGCCUUCACAAUAUAACCGAUCACCCAAAUUAGCAGCUACACCAGCAAUAGAGGCAAAAGUAUGCUGAUUGGGGCUUACCCCUUUGCAUCUCAUUAGAGAAAACAACUCAGCUGCCUCUUGAAUCUGGCCUUGCUCAUCAAGGCAGUCAAUCAUUGCACUCCAGGCUACUAUGUUGGGUUCUUGAAUCCUUUUAAAAACCUUAAGAGUAUCCUCAGCCAGUCCACAUUUUGAGUACAUAUCAAGAAGGCAACAACCAACAAAUUCAUCAUGCUCACACCCGGUCUUAAUCACCAAAGAAUGUGCAAUCAAGCCCCAUGUUAAGUUUACCAGGUACGUACAACUUUUGAGCACAUUUGACAAAGUAAACUUACUACACCUCAAUUCAGAUUCCGUCAUCCCUUGAAACAAAUUCAAAAUCUUUCCUGCAUCGCCCUUUAGAGCAUAUCCAUUAAGCAAUGCAUUCCAUGAUACAACAUUCUUUUUAUCCAUGAACAGAAAUACUCUCUCUGCCAGUUCCAUCUGACCACAUUUCGCAUAAAGAUCAACAAGAGAGGAUCCAACAAAAACAUCCAACAAAACUCCAACUUUAACACCUUCCCCAUGCAACAAUGUACCAAAAAACAAAUCCAAACUCAAAGAACAAGCUUUCAAAGCGGUCACUAAGCAAUGCCCAUUUGGCAGAACCCCAUCUUUCUUCAUAGAACAAUACAAAUCCAACACAUAAUAUCCAUACCCUUCAUUAACCAAACCAGAGAACAGAGCGGCCCAAGACACAACAUCUCUUUCAGGCAUUCUAUCGAGCACUUUACAAGCAUAUCCAAAGACCCCACGUUUUGCAUAAGCAUUCACUAAGGAGUUCCAUAAAUGCAAAUCAGGGUCAAUCCCAUUUUUUAUUAUCUUCCCAUGAACAGCUUUGGCUGAACUCAAAGACCCUUUUGAUGCGCAAUCAUGUAGAAUCUUAGAGUAAAGCUUUAACCUUUUAGAUCCUUCAAGCUUUGUUUUUUCUUUGAAAAGUGGGACUUUUAAAGAUGGGUUUAUCUCUUCUGUGGCAACAUGGGCAGUAAAAGAAGAAACAAACUGAAAUGAGGCAAAAAGCAACCUCCUGGGGAAUUCAAUGACAAGACGGUUUUUUCUUGUGGACAAACAUCGAAAAACAAGUGAUUGAAUAAGCAUUGAAACAAAAUAAAAAAUUAAAAAAUAGCUUGGGGUUUCAGAUUUCUUUGUGUAAAGAUAUCGAGUUUGAAGCUUUUAUCUCGCUGUUACUUCAGAUAUAACUGGGCUGGGCUACUCACGCAAGUACGAAGUAUCAUUCGAAAGCUCGAAAAAUUUAGAUAAAAAUAUUAAGUUUAAAAAUAGGUUUGAAUAAAAAAUAUUAAAUCUAUUUAAAAAUAUGAGCUAAAUUCGGGUUUGAGCAUUUAGAAUUUUUGAUUUGAUUAAUUUUUAAGUUUGUAAUAUUUUAUAUUAUAUUAUAUUUAUAUGUUAUAUAAUUUAGAAUACAUUAAAAAAAUAAAACUAUAUUAAAUAUAUAUUAUUAUUCUAAUAUAAACAUUAAAAUAAUGUUAAGAUAACUAUAUAAAAAUUUUCUAUAAAUAAAAAGUAUAUAAAAUUAUUAAAUAUUAAAAUAAAAUAAAAUAAAUAUCUUUUUAAAAAAUUUAAAAAUAAUAUGUCGGCCUAAAAUGGAUUUGGAUUAAUCUUUUACAAAUAUAGACAUAUUUGAAUAAAAUUUUAAAUUCAUAUUUCGAGCCAAAUCGAACUUGGACAAGCAUAAAAUAUAUUAAUAAUAUGCUAAAGCCCAAUCUGAUCUAGUUCAUGAACAACUCUAAUAAGAUAGCUAGGCUCCUUGUACUUGGUCAGCAUAGGUAGAAAAUGAGACUGCUUUCUCUCUUCAUUGAUUGUAACAAAGCGUGCUUUCAAAUGGUUUUUAGGCUUUGGUUCCAAAGUGACGCGUACUUUCGAAUGAAACGUGCUUUAUGAUAUUUUCUGAGCAUUUAUAAUAGUACCAAGUGCUAUUCCUAUUUUGGCAUUUCUAAUUUCUAGAGUUUUAGCCCCAGUUAAAAAGGGUCUAUAAAAACUUUUUAGUUAUGAAUUGGGUAUAGAACCAAUAGGCGAUGCUUGGUUACAAUUUCGAAUCCGUUUUUACAUGUUUGCUCUAGUUUUUGUUGUUUUUUUUUAUGUUGAAACGAUUUUUCUUUAUCCAUGGGCAAUGAGUUUCGAUGUAUUAGGGAUACCUGUAUUCAUAAAAGUUUUUAUUUUCAUGCUUAUCUUAAUUGUUGGUUCAGUUUAUGCAUGGGGAAAAGGAGCAUUAAAAUUAUCUUAAUUCCUGAAUAUUCAGAUAAUAAAAAGAAAGAAAAAAAGUAGGAUUCUAUCAAAUUUCCCUUAGUUUACUUUGAUGAAGGCUUGAAGUAAAGAGUUUGUAUUGUACCUCUUUAUUUGGACUUUGGUUCCGUUUGAACAGAUCCCUUGAAGUAAAGAAUUUUGUAAAAGUCUGUUUAAAAGAGAAGUUUCCUUAAAAUUCCCAAAUAUAUAUUACAUAGAUACGUACAAUGUGUGUCUCAAAGAAAUUAAAGGCUAACAAUGGUCUUUCCAAGCAACCAUAAAACAAGCGAUAACUCAAGGCCAAAAAUGGUGUGGAGUGUGCUCCUAUCUAGUACGAACCCAUAGAUUGUUAUCCCAGCUCGAUUGUUCUCAAAAUAAGUCACUGUCAUCAACCAAGAAUGAAACAGACCAAUAUCAUCAAGCAACUCAACACGUAUACUACUGUUAUGUUCAUGUUGACAUUGUAACAACCGAGUUUCAAGACGUCUAUCUCGAGUCACCCUAUGCAUCGGGAUCUAGCCGUCGCUUCCAAAUACACUAAAAUCCCGAUAGGCAAUGAGAAGGAAAUGUCCUAAAACCCAAUCGUUACAUGUAAUGUUCUUCGGAGUGACAUUAUUACCUAGAGCUUGUCUCUUUUGGAAUGAAAGGGUACUAUAAGCAUAAGACGGGAUCAUCUUGUUGUUGUCUAUGUCAUCUUCAUCACCAACGUCAUCUCCAUCGUCCGAUUCACCAUCCGUACCCACAUGAGGGAAAGGUUGAUGGCUCUGAAUGACAGACGGACUCCUCGGCAUAUCAUCUUCGUUCGCAUUGAGUGAAUCUAAUGUUGCACAAGCAUGCCACUUUGCCGCUAGGCAUGUAAUAGCUUGUGCUUUGUGAGUUAUUUUCGUUGCACUUCGUAAUAAUAUACAGAGUCCAGUGAGGAGAGUUAUAGAACACAACUACAACAACAAAAAAAGGGCACUCAUCCAACAAUGUGUUAACCGUUUUGAUCCGAAAAUCUCAUGGAUAGAUAAAUGAACACUUACAGCAAGUUCUCCAGCUUUAUAAAAAUUCAGUGCAGAAGUAGCCUUUGUAGUGAUAAGCAAAGAAGUGAAUUGGCUGCCAGUGAUCAAGAUCAGGCAACAUAUUAUAAACGCGCGAUAUCGAUGGCUGAUGAUCCUCAAAUGCCUCCUGAUCCGCAGGUGUUCGGACAAGACUGAACCAACAUCAGAAUCAAUUUGGAAAACCUGAGCAAAGUCGCGGAGUCGGAGAACCUGGAGAUUGCAAAUAAGGUGGAAAAGAACACACACAAGGAAGAAGACAGUCGUCCGGUAAAGCCACGAGCACAGCUCCGUAAUGCAGGCAACCGUGUCACUGAGCCAGACAAUGCCUAGGAAAGGAAUUUGUGAAGCACCUGAGGCAUACCACCAUACUUUGUAUGCAGUCUCAGCUAUGAAACAUGGAAGAACAAAGACUGCUACAAUUUUCAGUGAUCUCUGCAUAUAUUAUACAGUAAAAUUCAAUCACAUUAAUCUAUGAAUUGAAAGUUUUUUUCAAUAUCAUCCAAAAGGAAGCAACCUAGCAUUCUACAUUUUCUUGUAGCCAUAUGAAAUUGAAAUUCUCAAAGGAACUGAAACUACAAAAUUCUAAACGUUCUUACCUAUCAAUAACGAAAGAUUCAGACAAUAACAAAAAAAAAAAAAAAAAACCAGAAAUUCAUUCAAAUCCACAUAUGAAAACUAUUCUAAAAAUUGCAAUUUAAAGAAACAAAAAAAAAAAAAGGGUCAUGAAUUUGAAGGGAAAGAAUGAAAGAAUACUUACAUUGAGCUGACCAGUGUAUCCUUUCCUGACAGCUUCACUUUCAACAUAAAGCUUAUCAAAAAACAAGAACCGUUUCAAACCAUAUGUCUUGACAAACCUCGUCAAACAAACAAAAGACAAAGCUGAAACACUGCUCAAAGACAGCUGAACCACCGAAUCAUAAGGCCUUGCAUGUUUAGCAUCACAAGUGGAACAAGCCAACCAAAAAUGAGACACAGAUGGGACAACAAGCCCCAAAAAUAUGAACAAAAACCAAGACAAACAAGUUGUCCAAAUGUUUGAUUGAUCAACACACAUCCAUUUUAGGUAUGUUCUAAAGCUUUGUAACUCAUCUUUUGCAUGAGAUAUGCUUCUUGUGAACUUCUUAGUCCCAUCAUCCACCAAAGGUUCCAUGGUGUCUCCCAUCAAGGGGAUUUGUGGGAGAAUUUGAAGAGUUUGGGGGGAGGGGGGAUUUGUAAGUUUUGUUGGAUUUAAGAGGGGAGGAUGUUGUGAUCCAAUCAGAGGAUAACAAGUGUUGGAAUCGAGAGAGAAAAGAGGACUCAACUUUUCUUCUAUUUUCCAGGAAAAAGUUUUGGGAAAAAUCUAUCAGAAAAAUUAUUUUCUUUUUUUUCCUGGUUUUGACUGUACAUUACAAUUAUACAAUUAUUUUAUAAUAAUCAUUCUUAAUUGUGAAUUUCUGUCUAAAUCUGACGUUGGUCCUCAGAUCAAGCAGGCAUUGUUGAAAUUAUACCUGAAAAUUAAACGAUCUAAUCUAAUUUAUUUACAUUAUAUUAUUUUUUAUUAAAAAUGUAUCAAAAAAUGUUGAUUUUUUAAAAAAAAAAUUUACUGGACUAAGUUGAUCUUCAGAAAAAUUACGGGAUUAGGUCGAAAAAAUAAAAACACUUCCAGCUAGAAGCAUUUUCAGCGGAUUUACAGAGAAAUGCUUUUAGCUGGAAGCGUUUUCCAUAACAGCUACCCCACCCCAACGGUUAGAAAUCCAUCUCAAAGCCGUUUACCCCCUACGCUCUUUUCCUUUCCUAUAUAAACCCCCUAAAUUCUAUUCUUUUUCAAUUCAAUCUCAUCUCAACUUUCUCUCACAUUCUCAAUUUUCUCUCAAAUCUCUUUUAAAGUUCUCUCAAUUCUUUCUUGAUUCUCACUCAAUUUUUAUUCCUCUCUCAACUCUCUUUUUUUUUAUUAAAAUUUUAAUAAGGUUUUCUUAAAUUAAUUUUUUUCAUAUUUAUUGAAAUUAGUAAGGUCAAAGUCUCUAAUUCGCUUGGAUGACAAGCACAUUUCGGUCGAUUAAUUGCAAAUGGUAAGACGUUUUUUUACUAUAUUUAGUCUAAUUUAAUUUAAAUAUUUUGUUAUUAUACUAAAAUUUAAUAUUUUGUAUUUUUUAUAUAUAAUCGAAAGAUCAGAUUUUGGAGACAUAUAUUUGUAUUCUACUCGUUCCUCCAUCGUCUUUAAUCAAACCAUAUUUGAGAGAUGUGAGAUUUUUGCACGUAGCCCGUAUGGGUAGGGGGUGUAAAUUUGACCCUACACUUAUAAGCAUGUUGGUGGAAAGGUGGAGACUUGAGACACACACAUUCUAUCUUUCAUGCGGCGAGUGUAGUAUCACACUCAAGGACUUGCAGUUACAACUCGAGUUAUCGGUGGAUGGGUCGGUAGUGACUGGGUCAAUUGUCGCGGUCGAUUAGAAAAAUGUAUGCGCGCAACUUUUAGGAAGGGUCCCAGGCAUGAUUUAUGGAGCUUGGAUAGAUAUGAAUUGGUUGAAAAAAAAAUUGGUGGGCUCGAUGAGGAAUCGGAUGAAGUUUAAAGAGAACAACAUGCUCGGACGUACAUCCUUAUGAUCAUCGAGGGUCUCCUAAUACCUGAUAAAUCAUGAAAUCUUGUCAAUUUAAGGUAACUGCUAAAACUUGUAGACUUUAGAGAAGCGAGCAAACUUAGUUGGGGGUCAGCUGUAUGGGCAACAUUGUAUCAGGAGAUGUGUCGGGCGACAAAACCACAGAAAAUUAAAAUCGGUGGUUAUAUGCUACUGCUACAAUCAUUGGAGUGGUAUCGACUUCCAUUUUUACAUCCUCGAGCGGACUACCCUUAUACAUUCCCACUCAUAACAAGGUUAAAUUCAUUAGAGAAUAUAUUUAUCAUAAUAAAAUUAUUUAAAUUUUAAAUUAAUGUGUUAACAUAUUAUUUCAAUAGAUGGAACCAUGGGUCAAGUUAUGUGAGACUACCGGAGGAGCUUCAAGAUGUACAACUUAUGUCAGAUCAACGACCGGAAGUAGAGGUAUGUGUUUUUUAAAUUUGAAUUAUAUAAUAUUAACGUAUAUCUAAUUAAUAGUAUAUAUAAUUAAUUUUUUAUUAUUUUAAUAUAGUUUGAGUAUACGCCAUACUCCGAUAUGAGAAUUUAAGAAUGCAUCUCGUUUGAAUUCUUGGUGAAUCCCAACAUCUGGCACGUGAAGGUACCACUGGUAGUGUACACUACGGUGGAGAUACACGAAUUAGAUGUAGUUAUGCCACAGUUUAGGUUUAGGCAAAUGAUUCCGCCAACACCCUAAGACAUCGACAAUCUGCACCAUAUUGACUUGCGGGGGAGAAUCGAUGAAAUUGGCCUACAUUUCACGCGGAAUAUAUCAAUGUUUGGAACCAUAGGUAAAACUUUUUACCUACUCGCGAACUCAUUAUUUCUUGGGAGUUAGCCUACGAUUCAGAGUACAUGUCAUGGUUUAGACACCAUGACAAGCCAUAUCUACUAGCGGAAGAGACGAAGGGUAGGCAACGUUAUGAGAAGAGACCACGAUGAACGCCUGGGCAUCCAAGGUCUGGAACAGCUGUCGAGUUGGAUCCAUCAUCUACACCAAUGCAAGGACAUGCAUUGAUGACAUCACCACCCCCCGAUCAGUAUGGCUCGACUUAUUUUGAUGUUUUCACUAACCUCGUCAUUUUUAUAUAAGCACCACAUCUUGCACCAUAUUUGUUUGUUUCUACAUCGACUUCAAGUAUUAUUUUUAGACCACCACCUCCAUCACACGCAUAUUACACGUCGAUGCCAUCAACAUUUCAGACGACAACAAUUCUGACGGUGACGUAUAGGCCGUCUAUAUUUGGGGCACCGGCGGAAAGUCUGAUUAUUCAGCCAUCGGUGUAUGAGACACAAUAUGGUUAUACACCUAUGUUGAUGGUGUCACAAACACCUCCAGAAUCAUUGUUCCACCAAGGUGGACCAUCUUCACAACUAGUUGUGUAACAGCCCAUUUUUAGUGGUAUGUCAGAAACAGUGAUUUUAGGACCACAAUUUCGAUGAGUGAAUUAUUAUUUUGUUAUUUAUUUAAUGUCUACGAGAUUAUAUUAAGAUCGUAUUAAAGUUUUGUUAAGACAUUUUGAUGUUUAAACAGAUAAUUAGAUAAAAAGGACUAAAUUGUAAAAGGUGUAAAAGUUGAAUUGUAUUAGUUAAAGGGGUCAAAUGGCUAUGAAAUUUUAAUUUAAUGGACUUUAAUGAUAAAUAGACCAUUUAAUUAGUUAUUGGAUAGUUAUGGAUAAUUUUUUAUUGAAAAUUUGAUAAUUUUUAAAGGUUAAAAUGGUAAUUGAAUAAUUAAAAGAAAAUUUAAGUAAAGAAAGAUGAAACAAAGUCAUCAUCUUCUUUCUUUCAUUUUUUUUUCAACCAAAAAUCCAUGGGAGGAGAGCUUGAAGUUCCAGCUAGGGUUUAAUUUAUGCAUGUAAGUGAAUUCAAGCUCUGUUUUUAUUGAUUUUUAUGUUUUUGAGUUCGUUUUAGCUUAAUCUCGCUAGCCCGAGGAUUACUUUGCAAAAAUGUUAAAGAUUGAGGGAAUUUCCAUGGAUUUUUGAAUGAUUUUUGAUGUUAGUUGAUAGAUUAUGAAUCUUUAUUGUAAAAUAAACAUGUUUUGUUAAGUGAUUUUUGGUGAAAUUAUAUUUAGGGAUUAAAUUGUUAAAAGUAUAAAUUCAUGGAUUUUAUUGUGAAAUUUUGGUAAUAAUAGGUUGUUUCAAGGUCCCUUGUAACUUUGGUUAAGUUGGAUUUAGGUUAAAAUGGUUAGAUUUAAAGUUAUGAGCUUAUGGACUAAAUUGUGAAAAGUUAAAAUGUUAGGGGAAUUCAUAAUUUUUCAUAAAUAUGAAUUAUGGAUUAAAUUGAAUUAUAGAGGUACUUAAUUUAUUGAAAUUAUCAAUUUAGAUCAAGAUAAAUCACAAUCGGGCUUAAAUCGAGGAAAAGCUAAAGCUUCAGAUUAAUUUGACUUUACUUUUACGCCCUAAUUAUCAAGGUAAGUUCGUAUAAACUAUGAUCAUUUUAAUGUUAGUUAAAAUGACUAUUUGCUAUGUUUUUUUUUAAUAUAAAUGAAUCAAUAUGUAAAUGUAUCCAUGUUAUGAUGAAUUGACGGAUAACAAGUCCCGGUUGAACCUUAAGAAUUCUUACGAUACAAUUACAUGUCAUUAGAGAUUUCAUAUUUCGGGUGCUAGUCUUGAAUGUCCUACCAAUGGCUGAGGUCCUGCAUUUGUUGCGGAUUCUCCACAACUCAUGUGAGUAGCAUCGUGUAGCUUACAUUCCGACCUACAGCUCGUGUGAGCAUUGAUGUAAAGAAAAGGUUACGGUUAUAUGUAAAUGCACACUAUGUGUGAGCUUUUCUGAGUAUCUGAUGUAAUUCUAGAUGGUUGAACGGGUAAGAAAAGGAAAUGAAAUGGUAAGUAUGCAAAUGGAUUGAAUGAUGAUAUUAUGAAAAGAUUUAUGAGCUAAAGGAUGUUAUCUACAUAUAGAAAUUUACUUAUCUUAUGGUUGAAUUCAUUUGUAUCAUGAACAAGUGUACUAACUUGUGAAUUUGAUGAUGUUGUAUAGGCUUAAGCUAAGCUUAUGGUAUUGGUAAUGAUUUAUGCUUAAUCUAUGAAUUGUAAAAAUGACAUGGCAAGUUAUGUUUAAGUUUAUAUGAGCUUACUAAGCUUUCGUUGCUCACGUAGUUUCUUUCCUUUGUUUUGUAGAUUAUCGGAAGCUCGACCGGUUGAAAGCUCAUCGGAGACCUAUCACACUAUCCAACAACUAUUUCGAUAGAUUUUGUGUAUUUUGGCCAAGGUUAAUAAUGGCAUGUAUAAGGUCUUGUAAUGUAUGUUUUGGUGUGUUUAAGCUUUUGAAGUUGUGUUGGUUUGGUGCACUUUGAUGCCUUGCCAAAUUAUGUCAUUUUGGUCACUUUCAAGUGCUUGCAUUUAAAGUAUCUAUUGGUGUGUUUGUAGUGUUAUGAAAAAGGUCAAAUGUGGUGUUAUGUGGUAGCCAAGGAACUAAGCUUUUAUACUUGCAAUAUGGCAAUGUUGAAGUAUUUUGAUAAUUGAUGUUUUGGUACAAUUGUGGUGCCUUUGAAUGACAUAUUGGUUAGGUGAUUUAGGAUAUUUGAAAUGGUAUGUUUAUGUGUGUUUGGAUAGUGUUUGAAUCCCUUAAAUGUGUGUUCAAAUGGUUUGAAUGGUUAAUUAUGAAAUGGAUUUGAAAUGGCUUGUUUUUAGGUAAAUUUUGGGUUCACACGGCUUGGGACACAGGCUAUCACACGACUGUGUGACACACAUGGCCUAGUGACACGGCCGUGUGUUAUUUGAGAGUUUCUUAGUGCUUCAAGUUAUUGAGUUACACAGCCUAGCACACGGGCGUGUGGGGCAACUCAGUGAGUUACACAAGUGAGAACACGGGCUGGGACACGGCCGUGUGUCCCUUGUUCGAAUGUUACACGGCCUAAGGUGAUGUCACACGGCCAUGUGACCCCUGUUUUCUAAAUUUUGCAAUUUUUUCUUAAAACUUCUAUUUUAUUACAAAUUAGUCCUGAAUUGUUUCAAAGCUAUUUUUAGGGCCUCGAAGGCUCGAUUUAGGGACAAAAUGCAUGAGAUUGAAUGGUUUAUAAUAUGAGUUUAAUUUAUUUAAAUAUUACAAUGUUAAAUGUUUUCGAUUGUACGGUAAUGCUUCGAAACCCUAAUUCGGUGAUGGAGACGAGUUAGGGGUGUUACAAGUUGUUCCUAGAAUAGAAGAUACACGAUGGCAACCGAGGAGCACUCUGCAAUCAACUACGGAUGAAGGCGAAUAAUAUGAGAGGCUGAGACCACAACGUGUACUUGAAGGUAGACGUAACGAUAAAAAUGAGGAAGUCGGUAUAUAGCUUGGGUGAAGAAGAAAUAUGACUCGCAACUGACAACCACCCCGUUGUGGUACACAUAGGAGCGAACAGAACUUGAUUCGACUUGAAAAAAUAAAAAAAAAUGUUCAAAUUUCGAGUUAAAUGAAUCGAGUUGUUCGAGUCAACUCAAUUUUUUUUCAAAUUUCGAGUUCGAUUCGAGUUUAAUUUUCGAAUUUGAAUAAACUGAAUAUCAAAGUAUAAUAUUUUACAUUUUUACCCCAAGCUCUCAAACCUUUUUACUUUACCCCCUAAUACUUUUACUCCCUCCCACUUUCCCUUAAAACUUUUACUCCCCUCCCAUCUCACCCCCAUCUACCCGAAACCCAUUUUCCCCCCAUUUUUUUUUGAAUAUUCCCCCCAUUGACUUUCCCCCCAAAAUUUUACUCCCCCAACUCUCAACACUUUUUAUUUUACCCUUAAAUUUUUACUUUUCACCUUUUACCCCCAAAUAAAAAAUCAUACAAAAAAAUCUCUAAACUUAAAUAAUAAUUUUAUUUAUAUAUACUAUUUAUAUUAUUAAAUGAAAUUUUACAUUUUGUACUAUUUAUAUUAUUGAAUUGUUUAAUCAUAUUAAAUUUUUAUAAAUUUUUGUUAAAAUUGAAUUAUUGAUGAUGCCAUAAAAUAUUUGAGUUAAAAUUUUAUAUUGGUAUCAAUUUCAUAUUUUAUCUUUAAAAUAACUUUUAUUGAAAAAUUAAUUUUUUAUAUUUAAUAUAUUUUUUAAUUUCAAAAUACAUAGUGACAAAAAUCAGAAGAUAAUUGAAGCAACUAAGCAAGCAAAAAAGUUAACCCGUAUAUAAAAUAUUAAUAAAAAUUAUGAGGAGAUGAAAGUUAAUAACAAAUUUUAUUAUGGUGGGAAAAUUUGAUUACAGUGGUGACAGUGGUUAUAAGGACCCAAAGUCAUUUUUUUAAAUUUAACUUGAACAAAUAUAUUCGACACGAUUCAAAUUCCACUCACUCGACACGAUUCGAGAAAAUUUCAAAUUGAGUUAGGAUGAUAAAAUAGGAUUCGUCAAUUCGAUUAACUCGAAAUUUUUUCAUUCGAUUCGAUCGAACGCUCGCGCCUAGGUACACAUUCUGAUCGAGGAUAUGAAUGAUUUUUUUUUUGUACUUCUCAAGUAAAUUUUAAUUGUUUAGUUAAGUUAUAGUCGAUAAGAUUGUAACGAUAUUGGAUAUGAAAUGUUUUUAAAUAAAUAUCAUUUUAAAAUCAAAAUUGUUUUCAUUGUCAUUUUAUAUUGUAAAAUCAAGUCUACAUGAGAAAAAUGGAACAAAGUUGUAUAUUGUAUUUCUCUCUAUAGUAUAAUAAAAAUGCGUAUUUAAAAAUUACAAAAAAAUUUGAGUAUGAAUGAAAAAAUCAACAAAUAAGUUUCAGUUAAAAAAUUAAUAAAUCGGUUAAUGAGGUAUUGUCCUUAUAAUAUCUCAUCGGUGAGGACAUGACAAUAUUGUAUACCCUAGGUAGAUGUCGGUCGACCUUUUGGUUUGUAAUGCAAUGACUUAUUGGGUAACAACUUGAAUGGAGCGCUCGAUACCGGCAACCACAUACUUUUAUCUGGGGCCGAUGGGAAUACAUUUCUCCACAUGUUAUACAUGUGUUCUAGUUUAUCAUCAUGUAUUGUUUCAUCUACGAUAUGUACAUUUUGUCCAUAAAGCUUUGUGAUCUAAACUUACGGAGGAACAUGCUGCAAUUGCAAAAGCACAUGGGAAACGAAGUGCAUCAAAUCUCCCACAGUUGUAGGUCAGUUGUCUCCGAUGUACAUGGUACGCUCCCCCGACAAUACCUUGAUUGGGUCUGUCGAACUCUGUAACUCGAAACAAAAGGUCUUUGCAUGAGUGACACACUAGAUGCAUACAGUUCGCUCGUACUGUAGCCUUCCUAAUUUCUUUCAUAAUGUCCUUACACCAAACAUGGUAUUCCUUCAUCUGUCCAACAUAUUUUUUCAUUCCCUUUGGAAAAAGUUCUGCCAAAUGAAAAUAUGUUUCUUUCACAACCAAAGUUAUCGACAAAUGAUGUGUUCCCUUCAAUACAAAAUUGAUGCAUUCCACUAAGUUUGUCAUCAUGUGCCCAUAUCGUAAACCCUCGUCAUAUGAUUGUGUCUACUAAUUGAAGGGUAUGUUAGAGAGGUACCUUACCCCGACACUAUUAAUGGCCUGUAAGUUUUCCAACAUUUCAUGAAAAUGGUGUUUGACGAGCUCAUACCCUGUCGAGAAAAGUGAAUAGUUUAUUCAUAAUGCCCAACAUCUGCUAGCCAGUUAAAUAUUAAACAAUUGAAAUAGUGGCUAAUACAUACCCAUGUUAACCACUUGUGCGCUCUGAGCUUCAAAUUCGUACUAUCUGUGGUAGUUCAUCGCAACAUGUCUUAAACAAUAUUUAUGGUGUGUUCGGUCCCAAAGGCUUCUCUAUCAUUCAAUUGUGGCCAGUAUUCCAAGUCCCUUGUCAAAGAUGACACAUACAUCGAGUUGGGGGCAAACAUACCUCCUCAACCUAGACAAGAAGAAAUCUCAAAUCAUUUGCCUUCUUUGACGACAUUAUUGCAAAGAAAAUUGGCAGGAUUUUUUAUUUUCAUCCUAUGCCACAACCAACAACAACAAUCGAUACGUAUAUCUCCCGUUAAUAAAGAGACCGUCGAUUUGUACUAAUGGCUUGCAGUAUUGGAAUGCUUUUCGACAUUGCUUGAAAUCCCAGAAGAAAUGAUGGAACACUCGACAUCUAUGGACCAACCGAUUAUUAUAAUACACAGGCAUUAUUUGUAGAUCGGUUAACUCAUCCCACCCAUUAUGUAUCUUCUCCAAUGCCUUCUACUUUGCAAUCCAUGCCUUGUGGUAUGAUGGUGUGUAAUCGUACUAGCUACGGAUAUUUACAAUUAAAACCGACACAACAAUCAUUGGACUUGUUUUCACCAUAUUUAGUAUUAUUUUCAGGAUCAUCUCCGAACCCAAUUUCAGAUGAUCUUGUGAAAUACCUGCAACAACACGAGUAUGUUAAAAUUAGGAAUUCUACCCCAAAUAUAAGAAAAUCUUAACACAGUACCUAUGAUAACACACGUAUGCGGAACGAUAUAUUUUUUAUGGUCUAUAACCCAGUCUUCUUAUUAACAGAAACCAUGAUUUUCCAUGCACAUUUCGCUUUGAAUUUGUCAGAUCGGGAUUUAACAAAAUGGAAGUUUAUCCCAUUUUUUAAGUUGUAUCACUUCAUUACAGUGACAAAACCAUCUUUAAAGGAAAACUCCUUCCCCACUUCUAAAUCACCCGAAUUCAACAAAGAACUCGCAUAGCUCGAUCUUUUGUGUGGGAAUUUUACAAACUCCAAUCCAUCUUCUGCUAAAAGGUCCACAUUAUGCAUGUAGGUCGGUGGUGAGUACGUCAUGAACUGUGAAUCUUCUUCGACAUAUUCGCCCGGACCUUCACCAUCUGAACCUCCAUAUUUUAGUUUAGUUGGAACCAGCUUUGGGUCAGAAAAUAAUGCAAUUUCUAAACCAUCAGCCCCGGGCUCCCAGAUUGGAUUGGCAUCAGAUUCAGUGCCCUCUUCAUUCUCAGCCGCACCAGUAUCUCCGGGGUUGGAAAUCCCCUCGUCGGUGGAUGUCAUAGGGAGUACAUCAUCCCUUAUUGUAUAGUUCUCGAAACAACCAAACCACCUAUUGAUUACCAACCGUUGGAACUUGAUGUCAUUCUCCUAUAGGUGUUCCCAGUAUUAAACAUCGGCUGAUCGAAGCUGAAAUCAAAACCACUAACUGAGUGUCGCAUGGGGGUCCAGUAUUAUUGGUUACUGCCAAACCCUGUAAGAUUUCCCACUUUCAACUCUUACAAUUUCCCACUCACCCAUCAUAUAUCUCGGGAUUCUCGAGAUAAUAUUUUCUAAAAAAUUCUGAUCGACCUCAACCUCCCCUAAGCUAUAGGUGAUCAAAACUCAGUUACAUUCGAAAAAAUUGAAAAAAUUUACAAACUAAAAGUUAAUCGAAUUGAGUAGUUCAAGCUUUGAUUUUGAAUCGAAUUAAAUUUUACAAUUUGAAUAAUUCAAAUAUACGAUUGUUGUAAAUAUCAAAUUAAAUAAUGUUAACUUUACAAGUCAAAAAAAUAUAAAAAAGUCUAAAGAAUAUAUAAAAAAUUUUAAAAAUAUAAAAACCCCUAAAUCCUAAAACACUAAAACCUACAAAAUCUUAACCCUAAAUUACUUUAACAAAAAUCAAAAUCCUAACCCUAAAAAAAUAACCUUACCAAAAGAAAAAUGCUUCCAGCUGAAAGGUUUUCCUACAAAUCCAUUGAAAACGCUUUCAGUUGGAAGAGUUUUCGUAUUUUUGGCCUAAUCCCGUAAUUUUUCAAAAACCAGCCUAAUUCGAUAAUUUUUUUUAAAAAAAAUCGACAUUUUUUAGAACUUCAUUCUCUGUUGACAUCAUUACUGUUACAAUAAUUAAAAAAUAUAAGUUGGAGUGAGUUUAAAAGAAUAUUAUCUUUUAAUUUAAAAAUUAAUAAAAUUAUAGGUAGGUUACCACAAAGAUCCUUUUACUUCUUUUUGUUUUCUUUUCUUGUCAUUUUUAUGUGUUUUUUUAUGGCUAUUGGUAUCAAGGAUGUUUUCAACAUGGAAGUACUAUCAAUGAAACCGUAGAACUUGAGUUUGAGAUGUUGGACUUAAUUAGCAAUUGAAGUUAAAGUGAAUGAAAGGGAUUUGAGAACUUUCUUAGUUGGUUAUUAUUGAUUGUGUGAUAUCUAGAGCCCGCUUUUUACUAUUAUUAGUAUGGUUCCCUACCAAGUUUCAUGUUGGAUUAAUUGUUCUUUUAUGAGUAAAUUUUGAAGGUUCAAAUAUAUUUUAAGUCUUCAUACUUUUCAUGUGUUUAGAAGUUAGUCUUCAUAUUUUUAAUUUUAAGAAUUUAGUUCCUUUAUUUUUUAAAUUUAAAAAUUAAGAUUUAAUUGUUAAUACUAUCAAAUUCGAUGGAUUUCCGUUUUGAAAUUAAAAAAAAAACACUCACACGGUAACUAUGUAACAAAAAAAAAAACAUUGCAAUGAGCGUGAAUUUAACAGAUAAUUUUAAUGGUAUUAAUAACUCUUAAAAAUUACAUCGUCAUUUUAAUCGAAAUUAAGGUUUUUGGGCUAACUAAUAACAAUAAAAAAGUCAAGGUACCAAAUCAUAUCAAAAAGUUAAAAUAUAAAAAUUAAAUCUUAAAUUUAAGCAAGACCAAAAUAGAAAUUUAAUUAUUAUAUAAUUUAUAAAAAAAUAAACUUAUUCCAACUCAUCAUGCUAAAAGAAGUUUUUUGUUAGUAUUGUUUAAGAAAUCUAGGUCAAAAAACUAAUUAGAGUAGUCAACAAAAUUAACAAAUUGGACUAAAUAUUAUAAAAUUAAGACCAAAUUAUUGUAGAAUUUAUGAAUAAGAAUUAAAUCUUAAUUUUAGGUAUAAUAGAGGGAUGAAAAGUGAUAUUUGGCCAUUAUCCUAUGAAAGACAAAAAAAAAAAAUGAAAGUGGGAAGCAAGGAGAAGCCAAAAUUUUUUUUAAAGGGGCCGAAUGAAAUUUUAAUUUUUAAUAGUCUAUAUUUUUAUAAUUUUUAAAGAAUUAAAUCAAAUUUUUAUAAUUUUAGGGGGGCCAAAGUAUAAUAUUACUUUUACUAAUUUAAAAUUUUAAAAAUUUUUAAAGAGCCUAAAUAACAAAUUUCCUUUUAGGGGGGGUCGGGGCCCCUGCCAGCCCCCCUAGAUUCGCCUCUAGUGGGAAGGUUUAAAACGACCUUUGAGUUAUUGAUAAAGAGACUUUAGCUUAUUGAGAAGGAAUUAGAAGAUUAUGAAGUAGGAGAAAAUUUAUUUUUGUUUGUGUUUGANNNNNNNNNNNNNNNNNNNNNNNNNNNNNNNNNNNNNNNNNNNNNNNNNNNNNNNNNNNNNNNNNNNNNNNNNNNNNNNNNNNNNNNNNNNNNNNNNNNNNNNNNNNNNNNNNNNNNNNNNNNNNNNNNNNNNNNNNNNNNNNNNNNNNNNNNNNNNNNNNNNNNNNNNNUAAAUGGUUGACCCAAAUUCAUUUUAGUACACACUCAUAUUGUUUUUAAAAUCUUUUUUAAAAAUUUAUUUAUAAUAUUUUAAUUUAAUAUUUAAUUAUCUUAACAUUUUUUAUGUUUACAUUAUAGUAGUAUUAUAUAUUACUACAAAUUUAAUUUUUAUGUGUUAUAAAUUACAAAAAAUAUAUAAAAAUAACAUAAUAAUGAGGCCGGUCAAGCCGAGCUUAGGCCUUGAAUAUUCAAGUCCAAGCCCAAAGACAACUUAUAUUUUAAAUGAGAUUAUUAUUUUUUGUUCAAGCCUAUUUUUCGAAUUUAAUUUUUUACCUAAAUACUAUCAAAUUUUGAAUGGACCUUCAAGCGUUAUUCCAAUUUGACCCUAAUUUUUUUAAUCCUCAAUAUUACAUUUUGAGUCAAAUUAUUUUUUUUAAUAAAAAAAAUACAGAUUGAACCAUUAAAAUUUAACAGUGUUAACAUGACAAUUUGAGUAGAUAACGAUUAAAUGAUGUGGCAAAAACGAAAUGAAGAGUUGGCAUUGUAGUCGAGGAAGUGGAAAUCUAGAGUAAAGGAAUGAAAAGAAAAUAUAGAAGCUUCAUGCAAAUAAGAAGAAUAACCACAUUCAAAGUCUAUUGUGAGAAGGACGUACCAAUUUAUUAAAAUACAUUGUUAUGUAUAGAAAAUAGAGAAUGGUCUCUGUUAAGGAUCGGCCCGAUUAAGCAAUAAGUAACAAAAAUAGCAGAAUAAAUUAAGAAAUUAAACAUAUAAAUUUAACGUGAAAAAACCCCUCCAAAGAGGAUAAAAAAUUACGGGCAAAGAUAAUUUUACUAUAAUGGCAAAAGAACGAAGAGUACAAAAGAUGGAGAUAAAACUAAACCCAAAAAACUCGAAAACAAAAAACUCUCAAAACGUAAAUGUAAGAACCCAUUUUUGCCUGGACCCAUACUAGCAAAAUAAGCCCAAAUAAUAAAAACAAAAACAGUCCAUUUUCAGCAAAUUUAAGCACAAAACCCAAUUAUGCCAGCCCAAUACAACCCUAGCCCACAACAAAAACUUUCAGCAGCAAAGGGAGCAAACCCUAACCCUCUCCAGCGCCCGCAUGCACGCCCCUGCCCUUGGGCGCCGCUCCAACUCCCCGCACGCCGCCGCCGCACUUCACCACGCUCGUCUGGCACCUGCAAAGAAUUUAAUGCAAUAACAAAUGAAGAAGCACGCGGGCAAUAAUAGUAGUUAAUAGAUAAUAAGGAAGAGAAAAGCAUUUUGAUUCGGCUAUAAAAGCCCGAAUCUCACCGUUGUACUUUUUUUACGAACGCACAUCAAUUAAUCAAAAAUCAAAACACAGAUUUUAAAGGUUAAAAAUCUGAUCGUUUUCUUUUUUCUUUUUGUUUUUCUGUUUGCUGUUUUCUUUUUAUUCUUAUUAUUAUUUUUUGUUUUGUUCAUCUCUUUUACAAAUAGUUUUAACAAUAAAUAUAGAAUAGAAAGAAGGGGAAAGAAACGCACCUAGAUCACCGGUGGCUCCGUCGACGGAUGUCUUCUCGCCGUCGUCGGAAUCGGGUCUUGAAGUGGGUUUAAUGCUCCUUCGGUCCCUCGGAUUGGAAGCCUGACUCUCUGAUACGCCCCCAUUUUCUUCGCCGUUGGCCUUUGGUCACGGCGGCUCCAAGGCCGAAUUUUUUGGGAGAGUUGAGAGAAUGAGGGUUUAGUUUUUUAGAAAAAAAUGGUUGCAGGUGACAGAUUUUUGGGGUUUAAAU